RNAcentral lists this long non-coding RNA (70604 nucleotides) under Salvia miltiorrhiza (redroot sage). RNAcentral's name for it is "long non-coding RNA (SMIL_LNC011454)". Lineage: Eukaryota; Viridiplantae; Streptophyta; Magnoliopsida; Lamiales; Lamiaceae. The record is from RNAcentral.
GAUUUCUCCAGUUUUAACAUUUUGAUUUUGUGCGUUCUUUUUAAAUUUUCUUAAAUGUAAAAGGAAACAUAGGGGAGUAACUAAUUGCAUAAAACAAAUUCAUGAACAAACAAAUCAAUAUACAAAAGUAAAUAUAAAACAAUAUAUAUAAAACUGGUGUAAUAUUAGUACAAACUACAAAGAGGUCUCACACUCUUAUUUUUCUCUCUAACCUACAAAACAUCACAACGUAAUAAAUAACAAAAUAAACAAUAUGUAAGUGUGUAUACCAAUAAUAAUGCAAGUAACCUCUCAAGAAAUAAAAAAGAAUGAAUAUCCCUCCAACACACAAAUCCCAAUAAGAAUAUAAUCAAAUUAGUUUCUGACGAGAGCCACGAGGGACACCGCCAAUGAAGAAGCGACGACGGCGGCGGAGAGUGGCAGAGAGCAAGCAGCACCGGCGUCAGGCGACGGCGCGGGGGCGGAGCUGAAGUCUCCCUGCGCAAAUGCAGCGGAGAGAGCAGACAUGACGGCCACAAACAUCAACAUCACCAUAGCCUUAGAAGCUGCCAUUUUUUUUUUCAAUAAUACAAAAUCUCUCUACUUUUCAAUAAUAAACCAACUUUCUCGUUAACUUCAGUUCUCGAUACUUUCACAGCUCUCGAGGGGCGUAUUUAUAUACACAUCCUCAUGUAGAGAGAGAAAGAAGAGAGAGAUAGAGAGGCGGUUGUGUGAUUACGCGUGGGGCCAGGAAAGGUGUGGACAGGUGGCGAGGGAGACAUGCCCAUGUCGGGAAAAGGUUGAUUUGAAGAAGCAAAACCAGUUUAGAAAUGUAAUGAUAAGCCGUCUCACCAAAUAACCACACCACGCUCAUGAUGAAUCAUUUUAUUUAAUUAAUUAAUUGUGUGAAUAAUUCAAACUUCUAAACAUUGGUACAUUAAUUCUUAGGAAUUGUAAGUAAUAAAUUUCAAAUCACAAAACAAGAUGAAUAUCUCAAACAAGUGUUGGGUGACACAUGGUGUGUGGGGAAAGAGAGGUAAUUAAGACAUAUGGCCAAGCUGGUUUGAUUUAGGCCUUGAAAAAAAAAAGGGGCUGUUUACCUAAUUAUUUUUCUUCAUUUCUAAGCUAAGAUUUCGUAGUCGGUGCACUCUCCUCUAUUCACCAUUGUAUUUCGCUCCAUCACAGGGGCGGAGCUAGGAUUUUUUUUGGGGGGGGCUGAACUGUUACGGGGUUCGGGGGCGGUAGCCCCCGAAAUUUUUUUUUGAGGGCAUUCAAUACAUUUUAGACAUUUUUUACUAAAAUACAAAUAUAAUCAUAAUAAUAACAACAUUUUUAUAGAUAAUAUAGUUCAAAACAUUUACUAAUUUUUUUUUUGGUCAUUCAAUACAUUUUUAGACAUUUUUUUACUAAAAUACAAAUAUAAUAAUAAUAAUAAUAAUAACAACAACAUUUUCAUAGAUAAUAUAGUUCAAACAUUUACUAAAAUUUUUUUGGGGGCAUUCAAUACAUUUAGACAUUUUUUNAUUGAUGACAUCGCAAACACCUAUGACAUGUCAAUUAUAUGUCAAUCAGCUAUGACAUGUCAUUGUUUUAUUUUUUUUAAUAAUCUUAUUUAUUUAUAAUUAAUUUUUUUAAAAAAUCACCUACCCUACCCCCCAUCCCAAACACCCCUCAAACCUACCCCUUCCCCAACCCCCGACCACCACCUCCUAAACCCCGGCCUACAAACACCCCCAAACUCUACCCCCUUCCCCAAACCCUCUUCACCUCUUCCAUCUACCCCCCAUCCCCGAACAUCCGGAGCCGCUACUGCCCAAAAUCGAAAAAAGGAGAGAGCUGUGGUUGUUGCUGUCUCUGGGGACGAUUUGGGGUGGCGAUUUGCAGAGGGAUUUAGGGUGGCGAUUUGAAGGAGGGAGGCCGCGAUUUGGACUGGCGAUUUGAAGGAAGGGAGGUUGCAAUUUGCAGAGCGGCGGUGGGUGGCUUUCUGCUGCUGCGCCGCCGGCUUUCUCCAAUCCCUAAAUCGAAACCCUAGGACCGAGAAUCAGGCGAGAAAGGCGAGAGAUAGAAAUGAUCGGCGGCGGUUGUUUUUUCCGGCGAAGAAGGUGUGUACGAGAGAGAGAAUUUUAUCAUUUUUUUAAGUUGUUGGAAAUCAAAACGACGUCGUAUAGUUUUAAAAGAAACGACGUUGUUUUCUUAUGCCGCCGACUAUGCCACGCUGUAAUUACAGUAGUCCAUGUCAUCUUCAAGUUUGGGGGAUUUUUUAAUUUUGGGAACAUUAAGAACAAAUUCUUGAUUCAUGUAUUCCUACGCCAAUUUUUAAAUUGGUGAGAAUAUCGUGAAAUUUCGAAAAGCUUUUGAACUUUACGAUAAUUAACCCUUUUCAAUUUCAUAUCCGUUAUCGUUUCCAUUUAUGUAGAGUUUACGUUUUACAACUAUUUUCAAUUUUUUUUAGAAUUCGUAUAGUUUGAUUAUUUGAGAUUAUAUUGCCCCCAAGUUACUCAAAAUUAAGAACAAUUACAGCAGAGCUCGAUCGAAAGGCUCGAGCCUUGUCGUACUUGGAGGCUCGAUGGAGGACGCAAUUUCAAUAGCCUAGCUCUAAGGAGGAGAUGUGGUGGGAUGCACGCACUCCUUUGAAAAAAAUUGAUUUUAGAAAUAUAAGAAAAUAAUUUUAAUUUUAAUUAAAUGUAAUUUCUCUUUUUAUAGUGCACUUUAUAUUGUAAGGACAUACACUAUGGGGGGCGCGGGCGCGCACCAAGGUGUUCGCUCUUCCAUUGUGGAGGGUGGACUCUUAAAUGGUGGGGAUAGGGGUGAGCAGUCGGUCUGGACUGAACCGAAUCGGACCGACUGAAACCCUAGGACCAAAUCGGAUCAUAACCACCCAUCGGUUCUCGGUCCGGUUCGGUCCAAUCGACGAUUUCCGACAGUUUGGAAAAAAACCCAAAAAAAUCUCAUUUUUAAACAUAUUUUAGCCUGUUUAACAAUAAUAAUUCAAUACACUAAAAAUUAGGCCUUAAGCUUUCAUUUCAAAAUUCAGAAUAUGUUGAUAAAAAUUAAAAUUCAGAAUUAAGAAAUUAAUUAAAAUAUUAAUAAUAUAUAUAUAUAUAUAUAUAUAUUUAAUAUAUAUAUUCGGUUCGGUCCGAUUUUCGUCGGGUUUGCCUCCCCCGGACCGAAACCGAACCAAUAAUCUUUCGGUCCACCAAAAUAGAACCGGACCGGACCAAUAUAUGAAUCAAAACCGCCCGGGAACGAAAAAAUCGAUCGGUUCUGGUCCGGUUUUGCUCACCCCUAGGUGGGGACCACUUUUAAGAGCCCACCUUGACUCUCCAUUGUGGAUGCCCUAAGUCUACACUUUAAAGUGAAAUUCAAAAUGUAUGUUUUCAAAUCGUUUUAAUUGUAAUUUUUAAUUUAUAAUUAUUUUUUAUUUUAAUUAUUGUAAUUUUUGAAUUUAAAUUUAAUAGAGUUUUAGAUUUUAAAAUUCAAUAUUUAUAAAUCUUAGAAUGCAUUAUUUUUACAAAAUGAAAUUAAAAUUCAUAAAACCCCUUAUAGAAAUCCCCCAUUGUGGAGGGGUGGAUCUAAGGUGGAGCCUACCUCUAUAUAGCUUCCAAGGGACUCUCCGCCCUAACAACUCUAAGUGGAUUUAAGAUUUUUGAAGAUAAUGUGCGUGUGUUGGCCAAGCGGUAAGGGGUUAAUGCCUAACGAGUCUCCUGUGGUGCAACCUUUAAAUUUCUUUAUUUAAUACUGUUAAUUUAUCAAAAAAAAAAAUCAAGAUAAGUGUUGUGUGUUGAUCUAGCUGUGUAGGAGGUUAAUGUCAAAGACCUGAAGUCCUAGGUUCGAGUCCUCCGUCGCGUGAUCUUUAAAUUUCUUUAUUUAUUUAUGUAAUUUAUCAAAAAAAAAUUAAGAUAAAUUUUGUCAUAAAGGAGGUUAAUAAUCAUAAACCAUGACUAAUUAUUAUAUAUGGCAUUGUCCCGAGAUUAAUUCACGGGCCGAGUAUGUUUAAUCAAAUAAAAUAUCAUGAGAUGAAAUUCAUCAAAUCGAACACCACUAUCUAUAAUCGCAUGCUCGCUUCUUACGACAUGUAGAGAUGUCUUACAACAUACAUAUAAUAAUUGCGAAAAUCUUAAGCAAAUGCAAGUAAGAAAAAAAGAAUUGAACCGAAAAUAAUAAGUGAAUACGAAUGAAAAAUAAAUCUCUAGAUCAAGCUAUCAAUCGAUAAUAAAAUAAAGAAAAAAAAACAAUAUUAUUCUUACCCCUUAAGACAUUUUCCUUACACUCGACCGAAUAAUUCACUUUUCCAGCUUGAACUAUAACACUCGGAAGUUGACAGUUUUUUCUAUUUAGGUGAUUCAAUGACUCAAAUUUGAGUUCAAAUUCAUGUACAUGAAUUAUCUAAUGUAUCUGCGUGUAAUGAUUAUAAUAGUAUUGCAAAAUACUAUAAUGUAUAAUCAUAAGUCUUAAAAAAUAGUAUUGCAAAAUAUUUUAAGACUUAUGAUUAUAAUAGGUCGGCUGCAUUUUGGACGGAUUCAACAAUUUGGAAUUCUCGUAAGUUUUUAAUCUCUAACACGCAUCAAUUUUAUUGGUUAGCCCAAUAAAAAGUCUUAAGAUUUUGUUUGAAGUCUCAUUUUAUAUGUAUAUUAAUAUGCUGUUGAUAGUUUCUUUUCUUUUCAAGCUAAUAGUAGAUAGGUUAAUUUUGACCAUUUCUUUUUAUUUAAUGCUAUGAUAUAGAAUACCUAUGCAAGAGGGGCACCUAACUUUUACAGCCACUAUGUGGCAACGUUUACGAAAUUGGACUCAGUGAUUGGUAGUGUGAAUUUAUUUGAACUGAAAAUUUGGAAAUUUAUUGUAAGUCGGCUGAAUAGAGAUGGUAAGAGCAUCCAUAUUAGGCAAGCUUUCGAACUCGCAGGUGGGCUCCAUCCGUUUUAAAGCCAUUGGCUCUAACAGCAAUGAGACUCAUCUCAUAGCCAAGAUUUUUCUCAUUUUUUUUUCUUUCUAUUGAGUGUUCCCUCUCACGCUCUUUUCUCUCUCUCUCCAUGCGCACCCAUAGCGCAUUUGCGGGCGCUGCUCAUACCAGUCUGGCACGCACUUUCCGUGUGCCCUGCUGCGGAUGCUCUAAGAAGUUGGAUGUUAUUUUGAACACACUAAAAUUUGUAUUUUUCUCGGUGUGAAUUUUUGGAAUUCUUUUAGAUAAAUUUGAAAUUAAAAUGAGUUGUUUGUUUUAGUAAAAGAAAUUGAGUGAGGAAAUUUAAGAUAAUUUAAAGUAUAAGAUUUUUUUAAAAGAAAGUAAUUUUUUUUAAGGUUCAAUGCAGUGAAAUUAUUUUGAUUUGUGUUCUCAAAUUCUUGAUUUUUUUUAGUAACAAACACUCAUGUUAAUGCGUGAGAGAAAAAAAUUGAUCAUCUUCAUGAAUUCAAAUUGUAGUAACGAAUUUGAUAGUUUGUAUUUUCUACUAAAAAAUUAAUAAAAUUGGUAACAAAUGUAGUAAAUCACUUGUCUUGAUUGAGAGGCUACUUUAUAAUGUCCUCAAAUUUUUAAAAGUGAAAAUUUAACCUUUCAUGUUUGUGUGAGUGAUUUGGUAGGUAUUGUACUCUUAUUUGUAUGAUAAGUAUAACAAGAAUCACGAUAAAUAUGAAAUCUGAACAAAUACUACAAAAUUCUCUAUGGCCACUAUCUUAGGGCCAUAUUUGGGCCCAAAUAGCCCGAUUGGGCCCAAAUAUAGAUCACGGACGCCGAAAUUUAAAAUAUGGUAUAUGUUUAUAAAUAUGUAAAAAAGAUUGUAUAUUUUUGCAAUUCGUCCUAAAAUAGUGGCCUAACUUUUUUAAAACACUAGUCUUAGUUGUAAAGAACAUGAAGCAAAUAAGUUAAUAACAACUCUAUAUAUCAUGCAUGCUCCCUCUGCAAAUAACAAAUUAAUCAAGAGACCCGCAAAUUUUCGUCCUUAUAUAGUUUGGAUUUAAUUAGAAUAUGAUAUGAUGUGACACUAGAUUAUAUAGUGUGGCUCAAAUAGCCCGAUUGAGCCCAAAUUUGUACUUAUUUUUAAUAUUCUACAUUUUGAAAUUACUGUUGGGAGCCCAUGCUCUAAAAAAGUUUUCGAACAUGCAAUUGCUAUGAUGAGAAACCUAUCAAUGUUUGAAGAACAUAUCGGGACGGAGGUGUGCCCGAAGAUCUAUGAGAUCAUCGAUCCACUCUAUUUGCUCGAUCAAAAUAGGUGAUUCAUCAUCAUCCGAGAAAUAAGGCCACAAUUCACAAGAGGAUUAGUGAAUGACAACACGGGGAGAUUCAAGACGUCCGAGAUUGAGGUCUAGGAAAAAAGACACAAAAAAAAACCUAGCCAUGAAAGCAACAUGGUAGUUUUGCCAUCAUCAAAAACUACCAAUAAAGAUAAUUUUUUUUAUAGUUGUAUAUAAGUCAAAUCAAUCACCAAUACAUUUUUUUUAUCAACGAUCAUUCAUGAGGAGUGAAUUAUGUAGUUAUCUUGAUCGUGACAUCCCCCAGGGCUGGCUUCCUUCUACAGGGGACCGAGAUAGGGCUGGAUCCCAAUUAACAUCCCGCGGUGGAAGUUUCCAUAAAACGAUAUCUGAGUAACAGCGCUGUCGUAAAUCACUCACGCAGCAGUCUAUUGCAGGGGGAAAGGGCAAAAUCCCGACAAUCACUGAUACAUGCACUCCGCGGCCUAAUGGUAUUCUAUAAAUAGUUUACGAACAUUUAAGAGAGCAUCUCAAAUACUACUAUUGAUUCAUCCAAAUAUUUUUCCUAAGUCAUUGUUAACAGGUCAUUAAAUAUACUAAUAGUCGUGUGAUAUUUGUUUACUAUUUUUGAGUCCAUCAAUAUAUCCACAUAUUUUUUCUUUUCGGUUUCUAGCAAGUAAGAAAGAUUGUUUAGAACUUUUUUUAUGAAGGUUAGAAAGAAAGAUUUUCUAGAACUUUUAUUUUUUAUACAUAUUAUUCAACUUGCUUUCUGAAAGAAUUAGACGUCAAUUUCCCGAGGCUUGGUACGGUUGAUAAUACUUGGAGUGACUACUUAAUUACUAGGGACCUUGGUGUGAGAUGUCGUGCUGCACCUCCUCCUCGUAUGAUUGAGGUUCAUUGGUGGCCUCCUGUUUCUCAUUGGAUUAAAGUGAAUACGGAUGGCUCGGCGGAUGGGGCGCCAGGAAAUAUUGCUGCAGGUGGGGUUUUUCGGGACAAUUGGGCUGGUAUUCAUGGUUGUUUUCAUAUUAAGGGAGGGAUUGGCUAUGCUUUUGAAGCUGAGCUCUUGGCUAUUAUUACUGCAAUCAACAUUGCUCAUUGUGACGCCCCAAUUUUCUUUAAAAUAAUAAAAUGCAUUUUGAAAAAAAAAUAAGAUUUCAAUACUUAAAUAACUAAAACUCAAAUCCAACUGAGAAAAGUAAAUAAACAUCAUAAACUGAGUUUUUAUUCCAAUUGAAAAUAAAACAUUAUUUCUUCUUUAUCUUGACCAUCACUCGCCCCGCCUCUCAUCGCCCGAGUCAUCUCCUGAAAAAGAUAUUGUUUUGGGGUGAGUACAAUAAACUCAGUGGGGUGCAUUUAUCCAUAUUAUAAGAAUCACAACAAAAUAUAAGUGCAAUAAAAACUGUCUGCUCUUUCAUAUUGCCCGAAAGCAAUAACUUUCUGUCUCUUAGCCCGAAGGCUAUAUAACUUUCUGUCUCAUAUAGCCCGUAGGCUAUAACUUUCUGUCUCAUAUAGCCCGUAGGCUAUAACUUUCUGUCUCAUAGCCCGUAGGCUCUGCCUGCUUCUCACACAUAUAAAUUGAGUAAAACGUAUAAUAAGGAUAAAUGUUAAAUGCAACGUUAUAACCCCACCUUAACCUUUCUUGUGUAAAAACUCGCAAUUAAUAAUCAAGUCUCGCGCGCCGUUCCUAAAAUGAAUUAUGAAAAAUGUAAUUAAGAUACAUUUAAAUCAAUAAAUGCACAUGAAUAUGAAUAUUUAUGAAAUCCCUUUUCUACUAAUAUUUAAGAAAAAUGCUUACUAAUAUAAGUUAUAAAACGAUACAUCAAAAUACACUAGAUAAAGUAUAAAGUGUUGUUCUAAUAUCAUCUUAUUCACAUAUUGAUAACAGAAGACUCAACAUAAAAGGAAAUAUUAAUAUAACUUUUUUUUUUAAUACUAAACCAUACUCAUAGAAUUCACUUCAUAUAUUUGCAUAAUUCCUAAAUGUAUUUACGUAUAUGUACGGAAAAAAGUAAUGAUCCCUCAACUUUUCAAAACAAAAUCAUUCUCAUAACCAAUAUAUAUAUAUAUAUAUAUAUAUCUAUAUGUACACGUAAUAUAUAUAUGCCAAGCAUAACUGUAAUGAAUCACCCUUAACCAAACAAAUUUACCUACAAUAAAGUAUUAAAUAUAAUAUAUAUAUAUAUAUAUUAAAAAUAAAGUAGAACAAGCAUUGAGACACUGCACCACACACGCAUACCUAUGUACUGACAAAAAGAAAGGCUUUUGAACAAAACUUUAAAAAGACAAGACUUAAAGUUAAAAAGAUAGAGCUGCUUUCUUUGUCAACGGGAACUCACGGAAGAAAAAAUACAGAACAAGCUACAAAGCAGAUGAAAAUGGAGGAGAAAAGGGAGCGUAAAAUACCUCGCCCAGAAGAAAAUAGAGCUCGGUAAUUUGAGUGUGGAAAAGAGGUGAUAAGGGACUGCUAUUUAUACUAGAAGUUGAGAGCUUAUUUUUGGCAGAAGAAUCAAUCAAGAAAAAUCUUCCCAUAAUUGUGGUUCAGUCAAAAGGAAAGGUAAAUUAGGGCAUGAGUCAUUGCAGCUACAGCAAGAACGUGAAUGAAGGAAUGGUGUGAAACCCUUACUAUUUUUCUUUGGGCUCAAGGAAUGGGCUUUAGAAAGUAUUGGGCUGCAUAAAAAAAAAAUGAAAUUGUUUGGGCUUAAAAUAUGUAGUAACUUAUAAUAAUAAUAAUAAUAAUAAUAAUAAUAAUAAUAAAUGCUUGAAGUGAUUAAAUGCUCAUGCUCAUGCAAUAUCUAGGCGCGACUUAUAAGACUUAAAAUUUAAUUAUUGAAAAUAAUUAAAAAAUUCAAUAUUUGAAGUUUUUUUUUAAAAAAAUAUUUUGGGUCACUACACUUCUCUAGAACGCAACAUGUAAAUCAUGCUCGCAGAAUUCUAAAACAUAUUUAGGAAAAUGAUAAACCUACUAUCAUGCUUGUCUAAGCGCAGUUAAUAAACAAAUAUUAACAAGCAAAGACGUGCAAAAGCAGGUAAAGAGCAUAAGGGAUUAACAACCACGACAUGCAAAGAACAGUAAUAAAAGAAUUAAAAUUCUUCGUGACCCAUUCGUGGAAACCCAACAUCUAUUCUAUUACAAAAUAAAAUAGAAAAAGAACAGGCCCAAAACAGAAUAAAAAACUCGGCCCGAACACAUGGGCCCGUCAAGCUAGGGUUUGGGCCCCCUAGGGUUUGAAACGCAGCUAGGGUUUGAGAAACCCUAGCCGCCGCCGCCGCCUUCCAUCACAGCCGCCGCACAGCGCCGCCCGGCAGCACGCGGCGACCCGGCGCUGGCAGCAGCCCCUUCCAGCAACCUCCAGCAGCAGCAGCUCCUUGGCGAACUCGGCGGUAGCAGCAGCACCCGACGGCAACAGCAACGGCAGCAGCGGCAGUGCGCCGCCCGCCGGGCGCGCAGCGCGCAGAGCGCGCAGGCGCGGCCCCGGGCGCGCACCGCCCCUGCCGGUGGCUUCCAGCCCUCGCCCAGCACCUGCCCACCUCGCCUUCAGCGUCCAGACUGACCAGAGAACAGCAGCGGCCGCGCGGUCGCCGAUCUGGGCGCGCUGCGCACGGUGUGCACGCACCCGCGCGCGCGUUGCCCCUCGGCGCCCGCAGCCCCUCGCUCCCGGUCACGAACGCCUCGCCUCGCCACGCCUCGCCACGGACCAGCAACCUCGGUGACAGCAGCACGCAGCAGCGCAGCCGCCUGACCAGGCACGCGCAGCGCACGGUGCCGAAGCGCCCGUGCGCGCGCGGCCCUCGGCGCCGCGGCUGCCCGUGCCACACCGUGUCCGUGGCAACCUCCUCACACUUUCCUCGUCGUUGAUUCGUCGUCAUCCUCGUUUCGUUCCUCAGUUUUACAGAUUUACAACGGAAAAACAAAUACAAUUGAAAACCUAAUCUAACCACGGAUUUUCUCGUGGUGAAAAACGAUUACAACGUCCAAUGACGUAUUCCACGAAUCAACGAAUCACGAAGAACAACAGCAGUUAAAAACAACGCACAUUAUUAAUCGUACAUAAAUUAAUAAUAGAGCCAAGAAAUUAAUCAUGGGCUCUGAUACCAAUUGAAGGAAUAUUAAAUUGAAUUAAUACUCGAUUGCCCGAUGAUCGUUUCUUGGAUUAUUAUUAAUUCAUCAUACAACGAUUAAAUCCUAACAUGCUCCUAUGAAAUUAACAACUGCACGUUGGAGUUAGAAAAUACCUGAAGAAUUCCUAAGAAUUCGUCAAUCUGUCGCUGAACAGGUCAGUCAGCUUCAAGCCUUCGUUUGAAGCCUCAAACGUCAUCAAAUCGUAUUUCGCCCAGAAGUACGACUUCUUCAUCUUCGAGAGAGCUUUCCGUGGCCGCCUGAUUCGUCUGAAUCGGAGUUCUGUGGAGGAAGUUAUGGCCGUUUUAUGGAGACUGCCAGAACUUGGUUUCCUGCGAAAAUCUGACUCCAGCUCUGAUCUUCUCGACUGUAUCCCGCUCAAUUCCCAACGUUUGAUGGAAAACGAGCUAUGGAAAUUCCCAAGACAGAAAUCACCUCACGUUUUACUGCGCCUCUCUCUGCUCUCAAAACCCUAAUUUUAUCAGUGUAUUUUCCUGAGAGCUGACAGCUGUAUUUAAUAAUACAGAAAAGAGGAGGAGGCGCCAAUCUCUAUGUGUCACAGCCCACUUAUCCCAAGGACGGUUUAAAUGGGUUUAUGACUUGGGGUAAAUAUAAGGAGCGAAAAUUAAAGGAAUUAGACACGAAAUCCAAAGAGAUAAUAUUUAAUCAACAACUAGUAAUAUAUAUAUAUAUAAUAUUUUAUAUUAAACAUUUGCCAUAACGACUAGACCAAGUGAAAGUUAACAAAGAAAGAGUAAUAAGUUUCAAAUAGAUAACAAUUCAGAGUGUUUGCAGCGGAAAAACGUGUGAGUUAUGCAUAUGGAGAUGCAUACUCAAGGUUUCAUUACAUAUCCAUCAAAAUUCCGCUCAACACCACCAUUCCAUCGCCUGCUCAACCUGCACAUUUAGAAAUACAUGCAGGGCUGAGUAUAAAAAUACUCAGUGAGCAUAAGCCGAAAAUACAACAUGCAUACAAAUAUAAAUUGAACUGCCAACAGUAACACACAGGGGUUUUCUUGAAUGACCUGCGCUUACUUAAAACAUUUCUUUCAUUUUCAUAAAGGUGGAUGCAUCCCAUUUCAGUCUAUAUGAUCCAUAUCUGUCCUUUCUGUCACGCGCCGGGAAGGAGGCCUCCUUACCACGGACGCCAAGACCGGUCGCAAGCGACUCGCGGUCUCCAUGAGUGUACACGUUAACCCUAGCUAGCGACCUUUGUCUAGCAUAGGAUCCCAAUUGGAUUUCCUUUAAAGUUGGCGAACCAACACAGAUAGGAUACAUAUAAAAACAUAAACAUUUUGGCAGUCAAUCAUUUCAUAAACAUUUCAUUUCAUUUCAUAAACAUUUCAUUUUCAUUUCAAAGAGCAUUACAUUAGCAUUUAUAAAAACUGAAAUACAGUUAAAAUCAUAUCAUGCAAUAUAUUCUAUAGAGGCCUACGUCACGCAGGGGAUCUCUAUAUACGUAUAGUAAAAGUAAUGCCCACCUUAAACGUUCUUAAAGUGGCUGGAGUCGCUUCCUCUUCGCUUCACUUUCUGUCGCCCGGACCUUCAUUGAUGAAGAGUCGAUAAGUUCGUGAAGAAAUUGUCAUAAGACAAAGUCUAAUUCUACGUGCCUAGGGUAUCUUUUAAGGUUUUAGGGUUCUAGCAUCCAUAAUCCGUUCCAUUAAGACAAUCGAAAACCAACAUAACCUUGACUAGUCAUGACCUCACGUAAAUCACAUAACAACAAGAUAAAAGAAAUUAAUAUCCUUAAACUUAAUUCAUUUAGAAAUUCACAGCUCACAUAAGAGAAACUUCAUUAUUCAUUACAUAAAAAUUAAAUCAAGAGAUUUUAAUUCACUAAAAUAAUUUAGUGAAAUUUCAAACUUUUUUUUUUAAAGUAAAUAAGGCCAAUAUUUUCGUAGGCUUUAUUAACUUAAACCCAAAAUUAAUUAAAAUGGGCCCAAUCAAUUAAAUAAACACCCAUCAGAUUUAAAGGCAAAAUGGGCCCAACAAAUUUAAAAUAAAGUGUCCAGCAUUUAAAAUUCGGCCUACUGAUUUAAUGCAAAAUUCGGCCCAAACAAUUUAAAUAAAACGGCCCAUUCCUUCUCUUUCUUUAAAAUUUUCGGCCCAGCCAUUAGAGGCUUAAGACCCAAUUAAAAAAAAAACCUAAAAUACUAUCAUAUAACACACACACAACACACCAACACACACAUAAGCUCUUUCUCUCUCUCUACCUCUCGGCUCUCUCUCUCCCGACUCUCUCUCUCUGCUCGGUCGAGUGCGGCGCCGCCUCCGGCGCGCCACCUCGCCGAGCACCUCCCUUCCCCCUCUCAUCUCUCUGACCUCCUCCGUCUCCUCCCUCUCUCUCUGUUCUCUCCCCCCCCCUCGCCGGAAUCGAUGCAUGCGCCGCUUUGAUGACCGCCGUCGCCGCCUCGCCGUGAAGGAGCUCGGCCGCCGUUCGUCGCCGGAGAAGAUAAGUUCUCCCUCCUAUCUCUCUCUCUCCCUCCCCUGUUCUACCUUCUCUUCUUUUUUUUUUUUAUAGCAGCCCUAACCAUCUCUCCUCUACCCUCUUCUCUCUCGUUUCAGACAGACAAGGAAAAAGGCGGCGCUGCCGCCGCGCGCCUUCGGCCGUGAGCAGCCGCCGGCUGCUCUCACUCCUCCCUCCGUCCUCGGUCACACACACACAGAGACACAAAAGCCCAAGUUUCAGUCCAAAAUUUCAAAGUAGCAAAGUCAGGGUUUCUAUUUCAGUUCUUGUCUUUCCAUUUUUUUUUACAACAAACAUAGAUCUGUAAUUUCAUUAAUAAUAACAAUACAUGUAUGUGUUUGUGGGUGUGCUCUGUUGUGGAUUUUAUGGCAGAAAUAAGGAUGAAAUAGUCACAGAUGUAGAAGUUAUCAGUUUAGGGGAAACCUUGUGAAAAGGGGACGAAGAUUGUUCUGCAAAAGCAUUUGCACAAAUGUGAGACUGAGAUUUACAAUCUCGAAUAAUGAAAGGUUGGAUCAGAAAGUUGUCUUACCUGCACACUCGAUCGAAGAAGGCUUUUGAGGUUGAGUUUUCAGUAAAUGAGUGGCAAUUAUAUAUAGGAAAGAGUGGCUACGCGGAGGAGCCUCAUUCAUAAAAAUUUAUAUUAGAAAAAAAAAUCAAGGAAUCUGAUUAUUGUAGCUUGCUUGGAGAGGAGGAAAUUAUGAAAUGGGCCAAUGGCUGUUGGAUUUUUAACGGGUUGGGCUUUUAAAUGGAUGCAUGUCAGAAAUUUAAAAUGGAUUAAUAAUACUCAUGAUCUUAAUAAAUAAAUAAAAAGAUCCUUAAAUAAAAUCAUUGAAAUAAAAUCUUGGUAAAACAAAACUUAUCCCAUUUAAAGGGAAUUUCAUGACUUCAUGUCCACUUUAAAAAAAAUCCAUGUGGCUCAUAUAAAUAUGCUCAAACCACUAAUUAAACUUGUGCACCAUAAUUAUAAAAAUCCUUUAAAUCACAAACGGAUUCAAAUAAUUAAGCACAUCAAAACACAUAUAUAACAAUUAAAUCACAUCAGAAAAAUAAAACCAGUUUUAUUAUUAAUAGAUGUGAACCCUAAUUAUUAAAAUUAAGCCAUCUUAAAUCGAUAAACCGGGAAUACACAUGGAUCGAACUGUCUUCUGCUAGGCAACUCAACCAAGAAAAUCAAGGUUGAGAAUGGCAUUAAAAUAUUCACCAGACCUAUUUUAAAAUACAGUUCAUUCCACAAAACCGAUACUACUACCCUUUAUUGCGAAGUGGCUUGAUAGACAUAAAUCUCGAUAAAAUAUCCACACCAAAUAAUAAGCUACACUAAAUAAAAUCUAAAAUCUUAAGCAGUACCACUAAAUAUAUACGCCUGAAUAAUCAACCUGCAGGUUAGCGUAAAAACCAUAGCUCAAGAUGUCAUAUCCUAUACAUACGGGUACAAUACAGAUAAUCAAAUAUCAUAUAUUAACCGCUAUCACCCAAGAUACAGAGUACUCGAGUUAGUAUAUAACUUUCACCCAUAGUAAGUCAAAGUGAUAUACGAAUUAAUAUAUAUAUCUGAAUACUUAUUAGUAUUAAGAUUUAUAAGUCACCGAGAUCUGAUUCUUCACUUAAGUCAGAUAGAAGAAUACAUCUCAAACUGUGGUCCUAUCAAUACGUAAUGACGUACAGUAUAGACAAGUAGCCAAGACAAACUACUUCCAUCUAUACUGCAGCCUAAACCAAUAACUUGUCCUAUAGUUAUUUCGGCUGUGAUCAUAUUAUAUCUCUUAAGGUUAUUCCAAUUAUAUGGUCUUCUGUGAUCUACAACUAGUGCUGCCGCCGGUUCAGGAACCACCGGUUCCGGGCCCGAACCGGCGGUUCAGGGUCCGGAAUCCGGCGAACCUGAACCGGCCCGGAUGAUAUUAUAAGGGCCGGUUUUCUGACCCUGAACCGGCGGUUCCGGUCCGGGCGAGAACCGGCGGUUCAAGGGCCGAAAACCGGCGAUUCCGGGCUUUUUCGUCUUUUUUUUUUAAUUAUUUUUGUAUUCUUUUUUAUGUAAAUUAAAUGAUUUGUGAUGAAAUUUCGAAAUUCUAAUUCAACUUAAAUCUUAAAAUAUAUAAUAUAAAUGACUUGUGUAGAAAAUUUAAUGAUUGUGAUGAAAUUAAAUGAUUUAUGUCAUAUUUUUUUUUCUUUUAUGCAAUUAAAUAUUUAUGUCAUAUUUUAAAAUUAAAUGACUUGUGUUGAAAAUUUAUAUUUUAUGAAAUUAAAUGAUUGUGAAUUUGUGAGAAAUUUCUAAAUUUUAAUUCAACUUUAAAUAAAAUAUAAACAUGUGUUGAAAUCGAAAAUAUAAACAUGUAAUAGUUUUUAUGUCAUAUUUUUAAAUUAAAUGACUUGUGUUGAAAAUGUAUAUUUUAUGAAAUUAAAUGAUUUGUGAUGAAAUUUCCAAAUUUUAAUUCAACUUACAAUAUAAAAUAUAAACAUGUGUUGAAAUCGAAAAUAUAAACAUGUAUAUCUUUUAUGUCAUAUUUUUAAAUUAAAUGACUUGUUGAAAAUUUAUAUUUUAUAAACAUGACAAUUAAUAUAUUUUUUACAUAAUAUUUUGUUAUGUCAUCUUAAUUCUUUAGUAAUGUCAUCUUAAUUCUUUAGUAAUGCUUGUUCUUUUUUUUAUUAUUAUUAUUAAAUGACUUGUGUUGAAAAUUGAAAAUUGAAAAUUGAAAUACAAUAAAAGUACAAUAAUUCUAACACAUUGAGUCAUUGACAAUCAAAAUAAUGCAUAAAACUUGAAUUUAUUCUAUUAUACAAAAAAUAUUAUAAGGAUACAAAUUACAAUCUUAAAAUUGAAUAAGUAAACAAACUAACACUAACUAAAUAACUAAUUCAUUACAAGUUUACAAUAAAUUCCGAAAGAGAGUUGUCUAACAGGGGGGAAAAAAAAAUUAAAAAAAUUAAGGGCUUGACUCAAUUUUAAUAUAAAUAUUAAAAUUGAGUGGCCUACGUAUCUUCAUUGAAUAAUGAAGAAUCAAAGCCCACGUAGUUCUUUUACCUUAACUUACCUAAUCGUAGUCCUCGCCGGGCUCGGAUCGUUCGGACUCGGUGAAUUCAUCGUUUGGGCUCUCGUCGGCUUGAUCCCAUUCAUUCUCUUGUUGUCGCAACUCGGCUUUGGACCAAUCAUCAAGCAACAUGGUGGCCUCCAUGUUUCGAGGAUCCAUGGUGCUUCUUCUUUCGUCCAAGACAAGCCCCACCAACGCUAAAUGACUUGCUCGACGGAGACCGUGGAGGCCGGGACCGCGAAUAACUCCUUGGCCAUGGUGGCGAGUAUGGGAUAUUCCCUCUCGUGCGUGGACCACCAUCUCAAGACGUCAAAUUGUAUACCACCUACAUUUUUGAAAGCAAAUGUACUAGACAAAUAUAUAUCUAACUCGUUAGUAGUAUAGCUCAUUUGUGUAUUCAUAAAUGAAUAAGCGGCUUGAGCCCAUUCGUUUUGAUCAAAACUACUUCCUAAGGUGGAGGAGCCAUAUUGACCUUGUGAACUAGUAGUGCCACUUGAAGAGUAUGCGGGGUUUGCAAGCAUAUAUUUUUGUUCAUAGUCAUUAAACAAAGCUCUAAGUGUGUUAUCUAUUCUAUGUUUAAUAUCAUCUAAGUUCGGAAGGUACCAUUCUAGCAUUUCAUUAUUUCUUAAUCUUGACUCAUAAAUAUCUCUAAAGGUACCAUAAUAAAUUUCUAACAGACGAUAAACACCGCUAAUUUUCAUUGUAGGAUCUAAAAUCUUAGCAAUUAAAAAAACAUCGGGAAUUUCAAGAAAAUAUUUAAGCCACUUAAUGAUCAUUUGAUAUGAUACGUCCUUCAAAUCGUUUUUUUAUAACAAUUAUUUAAAGCAAUACCAAUGAACAUGCAAUGUUCUAAAACUUUAAUACUAGUAUAAUAAUAAACACCGGAUAAAUCCGUAGUAGCAUUUUGAAAAACCUUUAAAAGUUGAAAUAAACUACCACAUUGUUUCCAAUAAGAGGGCAAUAAAAGCAAGUUAGCCUCGGGAGUUGAUCUAAAAAAAUCAUAUAAAUGCUCAAUAUGUUCCAUGGUAGAUGCAAGCAUGCUAAAUGUUGAAUUCCAACGUGUAGAAACAUCUUUAACAAAAUUCGUAUAUCGAAUUUUUUUUGUGACGACAAUAUUUUUGCCAUUUUUUGCCAAUAGCGGUUUUUCUAUGCAACAUAUUAACGGUUUGUCUAAUGGGAUCAACAGCAUUAUUAAUAAGAGAAUAAGCAUCUUGUACACAUCUAUUUAAAAUAUGACAACUACAACGAGCAUGAAAAUACCUACCUUCAAAAGAGGGUGCGCACGCGGCAACUAACUCAAGAAUGGAGGCGGUGUUGGUGGAUGCAUUAUCAAAUCCCACAGAAAAUAUCUUGUUUAACAUGCGAUACUCAUUUAAAACAGAAAUAAUCAAUUGAGCAAUAUUAGUAGCAUUAUGUAUUUCAUUAAAAUCUCUAAAUGCAAUUAAACGUUUUUGAAUUAACCAACAUUCGUCAACUCAAUGACAAGUAAUACCCAUAUAAGAAUAUCUUUGGAAAGAAUCAUUCCAUAUGUCGGAACAUAUAGAAAAAUUUUGAUUUAAAUUCUUAAAAUAUUUUCGUAAAUCACGUUUUCUUUCUUCGACUUGUCGCCGAAUAUUUUUGCACAUAGAAGUUCGACCAAUUUUUUUGGCGGCCGGAUUAUAAGCAUUUUUCAUAGUAUGUUCAAAAGUAUAUUUAUCGGCAUGUCUAAAAGGCAAAUGCUCCAUUGAAACAUAACGAGCCAUGCAAUCUCGAGCAUUUUGUGGAUCAAAUUUCCAUAAAACAUUACCUUGGCGUUGGAAAUCUUCGGGAUGUAGUUGAGUUUGAGUUGUAUGGAUUCCAUACUCGACAGUGUGCUUACUCUCCAUGUGCCCUUGUGAGGGUGCCAUAACCCCCCUCCCGCUUUCCAUUGAUAAGUAGCGUUGCAAUAGUUGCAAUAGGCAAUGAUCCUCUUGGGAGCAUUUGGACCAUCAUUUGGAUUUUUAGGAGUGGGUUCCCUCCUAAAAUGUUUAGUGAAAAUGUUAGAAGAAAGUAAUUUACUCUUACCCUUACCCUUACCUCUAGUGGGAGGGAUUUCCUCCUCAACGUUGUGACGUGCUUGCUCGGCUUCCUCCUCCGCCUCUUCGUUAUGCAAAGUACGUGCAUAUUCUUCAUCCUCCGCUUCUUGAAGUUGUCUAGCAUAUGCUUCACCCGCCAAAUCGGCAGCUUCCCGGCGUGCGCCGAAAGGUCCUCGUUCAACUGGCAUUUUCACCCUUCUCCUAGAGGAUGAUGAUGGAACUUGAACAUUUUAAGUAAACUCGUGAGAAGUGGGAGUGCUAUCAAUAUCUUCUUCGGGGUCGACAUUGAUAGACUUGCCACGGUUACCACGAUCAUGAGACAUGAUAACAAAUAAACAAGUAGAGAAGAUAAUAUAGAUAAUAGAGGUUAGAGAAUAAUAAGCAAGAACAAUAAAGAAAAUGAGCAAGUGAGUGUAGUGAUAGUGUAAUUGAAAUAUAUAGUAUAGUAUAGUAUUUAGUACUUAGUAGUAGUACUAGUAGUAAUAUAAUGUAAAGCAAGAACAAUACAGUAAAUGAGCAAGUGAGUGUAGUGAUAGUGUAAGUUGAAAUUAUAAUAGUAUAGUAUUUAGUACUUAGUAGUAGUACUAGUAGUAGUAUAAUGUAAAGCAAGAACAAUAAAUUAAGGAGCAAGUGAGUGUAGUGAUAGUGUAAUUGAAAUAUAUAGUAUAGUAUAGUAUUUAGUACUUAAUAGUAGUACUAGUAGUAAUAGUAAUAUAAUGUAAAGCAAGAACAAUAAAGUAAAGCAAUUGAAUAAGCAAGAGAAUAGCUANNNNNNNNNNNNNNNNNNNNNNNNNNNNNNNNNNNNNNNNNNNNNNNNNNNNNNNNNNNNNNNNNNNNNNNNNNNNNNNNNNNNNNNNNNNNNNNNNNNNNNNNNNNNNNNNNNNNNNNNNNNNNNNNNNNNNNNNNNNNNNNNNNNNNNNNNNNNNNNNNNNNNNNNNNNNNNNNNNNNNNNNNNNNNNNNNNNNNNNNNNNNNNNNNNNNNNNNNNNNNNNNNNNNNNNNNNNNNNNNNNNNNNNNNNNNNNNNNNNNNNNNNNNNNNNNNNNNNNNNNNNNNNNNNNNNNNNNNNNNNNNNNNNNNNNNNNNNNNNNNNNNNNNNNNNNNNNNNNNNNNNNNNNNNNNNNNNNNNNNNNNNNNNNNNNNNNNNNNNNNNNNNNNNNNNNNNNNNNNNNNNNNNNNNNNNNNNNNNNNNNNNNNNNNNNNNNNNNNNNNNNNNNNNNNNNNNNNNNNNNNNNNNNNNNNNNNNNNNNNNNNNNNNNNNNNNNNNNNNNNNNNNNNNNNNNNNNNNNNNNNNNNNNNNNNNNNNNNNNNNNNNNNNNNNNUCUUCGUCGCAUCUAAGUCCCGUUAGGGGUGCUUGUGAUUGUUGUUGUUCCGUGCCCGUCUUGGCCUGCUUCAUGGCUGCUUGGGUUCUUUGGUCUUUGUCUUUUGUUUGUUUGAGCCGGAUUUACUUGGGAACGAUGGUGAGGCCGGAGUUCCUGAAGUGUUUCCUUCCGCUCGUUUGCUUUUUUGUUCUGCUCUUGUCAAGUACACUCGUCCCAUAGUUGGCGUCUCUGUGCCUUCAUGGGUUUGUUCUUCCUUUGUUUUCUCUUUUAUAAAAUGCCGCUUUUAAUAAUAAUAAAAAAAAUUAAUAGCAAAUGCAUGCAUUUACGCGUGUAGAUAGACAUGCAAGUAAAGAGUUGGUAAAUACGCCAAUUAGAAUUAAUAAAAAAGUGAUCAAAGAGUAGUAUAUAUACUCAUCUUCUUGUUUCAAUCUUUCCAAUUAUAAACAUUUUUUAAAAUUGAAUUCAUCAUUUGAUACAGCAGACUCAGCGAGUGAGAGAUGGGGUUUUUGUCACAUAAAGUAGAGAGACGCUACUUGCAAGCAGGCGAUCAUAUUUACACUUGGAGAACUGGCUUUGUUUACGCGCACCAUGGUAUGAUUCUCUGUUCCCUAUUGAUGCAUUUACGAGACGAAAUAGUAAUGUUAAUCCCUUGUUUACUUUGAUGCAUCGCAAUUUUAGGAUAUCCCAGAGUCUUUAAUUAUUUUUAUCAUUUAAGCUAGUUUUGCUUUAUUCUUAUCCAAUCCCAUUGAAAAUGUGAAAUCGGAGAAAUCCUACCUCAGUCAUGCAUCUUAUCUAAAAAAAGCACCCUUGGGUGAUGUUUUGGGAGAUAAUAUUUGUUUUGCCUAGCUAGCUUGUUCCUUGAUGUGGGUGAUGUUAAUUAGGGUUUUGUUGAUAUUAAUUGAGCCUUAAGAAUUAAGCUCGCGUUUGUUACCCCUCAAAAUAGAGGGGAAACAAAAGAAAGAGAAUUCCUUACUAAUGAUUCGUUAAUUUCCAUUGCUAAACCAAAAUACUCAAUAAAAGUAAUGGUAGUUAUUAAUUGUUACCAUUCCACUGCUUCAUUUGAUUCUAUUUCCUUUCAAUUCCUCUACUUGAACCUAGCUGCUUGUUCCUUAAUUAGGGUUUUGUUGAUAUUAACUGAAGCUUAAUUUCUGGCUCCGCCAUUGCACUCAGGUAUCUACAGGGGCGACGAGCAAGUGGUGCACUUCACUAGCGCAGCAUCAGCAUCUUCUGCUCCACUAAAAAGAAGAAGGGAAACUUGCUCAACUUGUGAGAAGUUUGAGCAUAGCGAUCGUGAAAGUGGUGUCAUCAUAUCUUGUCUCGAUUGCUUCCUUAAGAAAGGAGAAUUGUACCGUCACAAGUAUGGCGUUACGAAGGCAGCCCACCGGCUGAGCCGCCGUGGGACUUGCAAUACGGCAGAGUCCGGCACCGCCGAGGUGGUGAUGGCAAGGGCUGAAUUUGAGCUUGCAAAUGGAUUCGGGGAGUAUAAUUUGAUGGAUAAUAAUUGUGAAGAUUUCGCAACCUACUGCAAAACUGGCCAAAAAUGCAACCGUAACGGCACGGCGCAUCGUUACGGCCAAGCCUCCAUCAUCCCGCAACAGUGGCGGAGCCACGAGCUUAUAUUAGGAGGGGCUGAACUUUUACGGGGGUUCAAGGGCGGUAACCCCCAUUUUAUUGGGAAGGGUACACUACUAGAAAAACGCUCAUAGAUAACGGAUUAUUCGUAAAUAUUUUUACUUAAAAAAUAAAUAUAAUAAUAAUAAACAAUAUUUUCAUAAAUUAUUUUUACAAUAUUGGGGGUUGGGUUCACGCCGUGUUCAACGGUAAUUUAUGUAUGCAUGAUUAUUUCUUGGAUAGUUUGUAUUAAAUGAUUAUUAUUAAUUUUAUUAUACUGAUUGUUAUUUCCUUAAGAUGAAAUUGACUUCAAUUAUUUGAUUGACAAUCUACAAAUUUAAUUAUUAUUGAAGAAUGCUCAUUAAAUUUGAUCAUAUUGCACUCAUUAAGUUUAUACUAGUAAUGUUAUUAUACAUUAUUUUAAACCAAAUACUAAUAUUUAAAUAAGUAACCCUUACCUGCUUUAAACUUCUUAACACCUUAUUAAUUCNUGUUAUUAUACAUUAUUUUAAACCAAAUACUAAUAUUUAAAUAAGUAACCCUUACCUGCUUUAACUUCUUAACACCUUAUUAAUUCUUAAUUUGCGUGCUCAGAGCAAAUGUGACAAAAUAUAGACAAAUACUUUCGUUGAGGAAAUUAAGGCAGUAUUGGGGACUAAACUCUAGUUCCUCGCCUUUAAAAUAUACGACAUCGUAUAUACGAACAUUUAACGAGCUAGUUCGAGCUCAAGCUUGAAUUCUAUAUAUAUUAUCGAGCAUCACCCGAGUCGAGCUCGAAUUCUGUAAGUGGGUGACGAGCCGAGCUCGAUCAACAAGGUAAAAACUCGAAUCGAGCUCGAAUACCCGAAUAUUUAAACGAUCGAGCCGAGCUCGAGCUUCGGUUCGUUUGGUGCCCUAAUGUUAAGGAGGAGUAACACAACCUCUAAUUUUAGUAGCUGAGGUGUUUUCAAAAGGAGAUUUCCGGAAGGGGCUUCAGCCCCCUCUUAUGUUUGUUAAUGCAAUUAGAAUACAAUUAGUGUACUAUCUAAUAAAUUAAUAUAUACUUAUAAAUAUACAAUAUGUAAUAUACAAAAUCAACCUUAAAAUAAAAUACGCAGUAGGGAUAAAAUAGUCAAUCCAUGUUCCUUUUCCGCAAGAAAGGGUAUUUGAAAAUAUAAUCUUGUUCAUCAUAUACACUGGCAAAAAAAUGUCUAAUAAUAUAUGUCAGUUCAUUUGGUUCUUGAUCAUCUCUAUAAUCACACUUCAAUAUGUGGGAAUCAAGUAACGAAAUUCAAAAACAUAAGGCUGAAUUUCUAUCAGCUUCUGCGAUGGGGAUUGAUCAGUUUCUCCAUUUAGACAUUCCAUCAUCAAUCUUUUCAGAGAGCUCGUAAGAGGUAAUUGGCUGUAAAUCCAUUUAAAGCGACUCGAUGUCAUCGGCAAAUCUUUAUGUGUCGAUGCACGAGUUUUGGCACUGAAAUCUUCUUCUUGCUCGUAAUCCCUACUGAUGCUUCCAAAUACUCAACUUUGGCUUUCUCUAAUUCAUUCAUCACUUCAUCCGGCAUGUAAAACCUCAACUGCAAGCUUGAUUGUUUGUAAGACUGCUAAAACAUGGUGGAUAUAAAUUGUAUAGAUAUUGGCUAGUAAAAUCGCGAACUAUUUUGAAAUUGCAAUUUUAACGUAACUUUUGAAAAAGUGUCGAAUUAAAUCACCACGUUUUCACGUUUUGCAAAUUCCGCCCCCCCAACUUUUUUCGUCGCCGGAUCGUUGAGUUGAAGUUUACGUGGAUUUUAGGUGUCACGUAAUAUUCAUGUUACGACGUCGUUCGCAAUAAAAUUGCUUAAUAUUGGAAAAUUAGGAUGCAAAUACCAGAUGUAGUCCUUUAUAUAUAAUUAGGAAAAAUUUUAAUUAAGAUUAUACGAAAUGACGUCGUUUAGACCUCACAAAAACCAAGUCGUCUUUAAUAAUCCACGUAAGUAAGCUACAAUUCAGCACUCCGGCUACCACAAAACAUUGGGGGACGAAAUCGCAAAAAUUGAAAAGAUGGUGAUUUAAUUCGUCAGACCUUAAAAAUCACUUGAAAAUAUAGUUUCGAAAUAGUUCAUGAUUUUAUUUGCCAAAAACCCUAAAAUGUAAUGUUGGAAAUUGUACUUACUGCUGGAGACGACCAAUUGCCUCGACAGAGAGCAAAUAUGACAUUAGGUUCCGGAUAGUCAAGACCACAAGCUUGCCUUAGAAUUAUUUCCUUCUCAUCAGUUAAGUCCUGUAGUUCAAAUAGUGUCAUAUUAUUACUAUAAGAGUGCGUUUACUUUAAUCGUAAAAUUUUCAUCGAAAACUGAUGGAUAAAGAAAAACAUUAAAACUGAUAGAUAAAGAUAAUAUUAUCCAGCAUUGGAAAGAAAGUGAAUGAAAAAAUAAGCUGCUUGAAAAAAUAUUCCACCAUUUUCUAGAAAAAAAUUCAAUCAUAGCAAACAUGUGAAAGUGAUAAAAUAUAUAUAUAUAUUCUCUCAUUUUUCGUCAAAGUAAAUGCACCCUAAACUCACAUAUUUAGCUUCUGCUGGAUGCCUGAGGAUGCACUGCUCAAUUGUGGAAGCCUUGAAUAUGAAACCACCCACAUUAAUUUCAGCCUGGAUAAUAUAUGCAUUGUCAAUUUUAAUGAAGUUGCUUAAGCUUCAAUCCGUGCAAUACACGAGAAACGAUUUUUAUAUUUCUAUAUCUAUAUAAAGCCAGUAUCGUAUUGGUUUUAAAAAAAAAAAGCCAAUAUCAUAAAAAAAAAUUACCUCAUUCAUGAGUAAGAGUAGUUUUUCCUGUGUGGAAGGCAGCCCGUGUUGCAGAAAUGCCUGAAAUAUAUAUAUGGAGAAAAAAUUAUUAUGAUAAUGAUAAUGAUGAUAUUUGUAUUAAUUAAUUGUAAUUUAUUGGGCUAAAAACCACUUGAGAUUUCUUCAUUACAUUCAUUAUGGAGGCGUUGUAUAUGUUAAUCCAGAAUGCCAGCUUCUGCUUGUGGCUGAAGUGGUUUACUUUGACUUUAUUGAGCUUCUGCAUCAAAAUCCUACAAGAAACAAAGAGAACCACUCAAAAAUGGGUCAAUGGUGAUAUUCGAAUUCGAAAUUUUGAUAUUCGUAUUCAAAACUAUUUGGUUACAAAUAUUCGAUUCGAUUCGAUUAGUAUUCAAAAUUACAAAAAAAAGUUUCCACUAGUUACAUAAGGCUUGAUAGCUAUUAUGCGUAUCACAAAAAUUAGUGGUAUUUGAAAGAGUAACUAUUAGUGAUUAGCCACACCAUCAAAUGCCACUAAUUUUUAUGACACACAUAAUAGCUACCGAACAUUUAUUGAUGAUUUAAAUCAUCAAUUGAACAUUUAUUAUUGUGUGUUGAUUAAGUAAAUAUAUUGGAUACAAAGUAUAUAUAUUAUAUUGUUUGGAAUAUUAUUUUAUAUAUUUUUCUCUUCAGAAUUUCGAAUCAAAAAGCAUGAAAAUCGAACCGAAUAAUUCGACAAUGACAUCAAAUCGAAUAUCAGAACAUUUUCACGAAUACGAAUCGAAUAUUGGUGAUAUUCGCUUCGGUUUUCGAUUCAAUUCGAUUACAACCCUACUAAAAGCUGAAGGUACAUACCUCAGUCUCUGCACAUCCGGAAUACAUUCAGAGAAACGGCUCGUAUCCAAUGUACCUUUUGUUAUCUGUAUAAAAUUCUUGUACGGCCCUGUAUCUCUUAUGCCGGCACCAAGCUCUGGCAAUAUCUCAUAAGGAUCAAGAUGCGAUGCAUCGUCGUUGAACGGAAACACCGGCGUUUUGCAGCUGAAUGCGGCUUUCGACACCAGCCCUUUCGAGUUCAUACACGCCAUCGUCUGCUUCGAGAGGCUAGUCAGCCGCGUGCUCUUAAACGCGGUAUGGUGUAGUUUGAGAAAUAUGCCUAUCAAGCACUUGAUGAGAUCGACUGAGAGCUUAUUCGGAUUUGCCACUUCACUCUCUGCUGAAGAAGAGUUGGAUAGAAAGGUUGGAGUCUUGCUCGGGGCCACGGGAAACUCGUUUCCCGUGUUUUCCCGUGAAAGUUGCACUCUGGAGUUCCUUGGAGGAACCCAGAGAUGCUCUCCGGUCUCCCGGAAUUCUGUAUCUUCUGUUUUCGUAGUUUUGUGAUGUGGAGAGCGCGUCGCUCUCCUUGUGCUGUAUCUGGUUUGGCCGCCUAGACGGCAGCUUCCUUAGCUGCCGUUGCUCGAGUUUCGGCCGGAACUCUUUCAACUGCACCACCUCCAUUUCCUUUCUUUUCUGCUUCUCGUGGUGGAUGUCCAAUUUGAGUUCAUUGAUCUUUCUCUCCACCCAUUCUAUCUCUUCUUCCACCACUGCUAAAUCAGCCAGAAGCAUUUGAACCUGUGUUUUCGUUCAUUGUUCGCUUAGGAGGCGUUUACUUUGAGUGAUAAGAUUGAAUAGAUAAAUUUAACGGUGUGUUCUCUUUGUUGUAAAUUUAUCACGAGAAAUGAGGGGUACGAAAAGAUGGACAAAUUUAGCUCAAGUUCUUUCAGGUGAAAAACAUAGUUUAUCACAUCAAUGUUCCAAGGAAAAUAUUACUAUCACAUUAAUCCCCAUGAUAAUAUUAUCAUGAAUUGGAGUGAAAAGAAGGGAAAAGGGCCUGCCCGAAUUUUUUCUGUCUUGCCUGAUGAAAGUUAUCCUUCCUACAUAACAUGUGAAAAUGCUGGAAAAAUUGUGAAAAUAUAUGUUUUCCACCCUUUUUCAUCAAAGAGGAUUAUAUUUUGUGUUCUUGAUUUUUAGCAUUUUAAUUCUAAUUUUUUUUUUUUUUUACCAUUUUUCAGAAAUUGUCCCUGCAUUUUCUUAAAAAUGUCUAUUAUACAAACUCUUGUGAUAGAGUGAUACUGAUAAGUCAUAUUGUCAAAUUAUUAGGUGGAAAAAGGGAUCCACGUAAGAAUCUGGCGACGUGACUCAUUAUUCGAUCGCCUAAUUUUACAUAUUAAGACAUUUUCUAACAAACACUGAAAGUUGAGAGUUUUCUAUAGAAAAUGAAAGUUGGGGAACACACAAAUUUUAUUGACUCGUCUUGUAGAAUGUACUGUGAAUAGAACGCACGCGCACGCACGCAUACUUGAUGACUAAUAUAUCAAAUUCAAAAUACUCGCGACUUCUCAAGUUCUAGAAACUUUUUUAUAAAUAAAUAAAUUAACAAUUAAAUAAAAAAAAUUAAAAAUCACACCACAACGGACUCGAACUCAAAACUUUUUGGCCUUAGACAUUAACCACACACGCACGCUAAGUUCUAGAAACUUGUGAGUGUGCAUAGGUGCCACUAACACACAAAUUGUGUAUAAAAAUGCUGCACUUAACAAAAUCUAAAUUAUUGUGUAGACAUAUAUAUUACCUGGAAAGGAAGGAAAGGGGUGAGGGAUGAACAUGAGUCGCAGCAGCCACUUGGACCUUGCAUCGUGCAUUGCAAUACCCUCUUCAACUCAAGCUCCCCUUCCAACUCUUCCUCCAAUCUUUCAACCUGCAAUUAUUUGUGUUUCAUUUUCUUUGCAUCGGCAAAGUAACAUAAUCAAGAUUAAAAGAACUCGUCGACCCCAACGUGCGUGAGCAAUGGCGAAGCCAUGAAUUUUCAUUAGGGGAGUCGAAGUCAAUUUUUUUUUUUGGGGGGGGCAUUUCUUACAGUUCGCUUUUGUUUUUUUUUCUUAUUUAAAAGAAUAUAAUAAUAACGAACAACAGUUUCAUAAAUCAAAUAAUUUACAAAACGUCACAAACAACUUAAGAAUAAAUACUUGAUGAAUUAUUUUUUUUUGUUUCAUCAAAGUCAGAUGGGAUCCUUUGUUCCAGGAUAUAGUGUGUACUAUGUGUACCACUCUUCAUUUCUUCGUUUUAUAAAUUAUUUUUUAUAAAUAUAAAAAAUAUUAUUAUAUUAUAAACUCUAAUCAAUACUCCCUCCGUCCUACUCCAAUAGGCUCAUUUUCCUUUUUUUUAUAUAAAAGCACAAUAAAUUAAAAUUGGAAAAAAAAUAAUUAAAAAUAUACACUGUUGGUACACACUAUUUUUUGGUACAGAGGAUCCCAUUUGCAUCAAAGUUUGCUUUAACUCCUAUAUUCACCUUCACGAGAAAAGAAAAAAAAAAAAAAACCUUUCCAAUUUCUUAUAGAAAUAAAAUACUAACAAUUAUAGAAAUGACAUUAAUCCAUCCACAGGCUACAUUUUUUCCGAGUCAGCUACAUGAUGAGACUGAUACAAAUUGAGCAAAUGCACAAAUUGAAGACAAAUUAUUACUUCACAAAUUCACCACAAAUUACAUUCUGCCUCACAAAUUUCAUUUCAGAAUUUUCUUUUCUAGUAUAAUUUUCUUAAAAAAAAAUUGAGGAGGGGCUUUAGCCCCCCUUAGCCACCCCUUGGAUGAGAGAGAGAGAGAGAGAGAGGCCUGACCUGUUCUCGGAGGUNNNNNNNNNNNNNNNNNNNNNNNNNNNNNNNNNNNNNNNNNNNNNNNNNNNNNNNNNNNNNNNNNNNNNNNNNNNNNNNNNNNNNNNNNNNNNNNNNNNNNNNNNNNNNNNNNNNNNNNNNNNNNNNNNNNNNNNNNNNNNNNNNNNNNNNNNNNNNNNNNNNNNNNNNNNNNNNNNNNNNNNNNNNNNNNNNNNNNNNNNNNNNNNNNNNNNNNNNNNNNNNNNNNNNNNNNNNNNNNNNNNNNNNNNNNNNNNNNNNNNNNNNNNNNNNNNNNNNNNNNNNNNNNNNNNNNNNNNNNNNNNNNNNNNNNNNNNNNNNNNNNNNNNNNNNNNNNNNNNNNNNNNNNNNNNNNNNNNNNNNNNNNNNNNNNNNNNNNNNNNNNNNNNNNNNNNNNNNNNNNNNNNNNNNNNNNNNNNNNNNNNNNNNNNNGAAAAUCAGCCAUACUCAACCUAUGACACAUCAAAUGGAAACCUUCAUUUUUCCAUAAACAAAGGGAUGAUGAAUAGGAAUGCAAUUUCGACUUACGUGAGUCCUGAUGUGUCAUAAUUAUCCAUUCCCAAGCCCUUAAAAAUCUACAUAAACCAUAACAAAUUAGCAUCAAACAGAAAGCAAGAGAUUGUUUCCUUUUCACAAUGAAAUGAACAUCAAGAAGAAAAAGAAGAACCUCAGCCAUUCGAGAUUCCAUCUGUAUAGAGCGAGGCCCAAAUCGAUUCUUCUUCUACUGAGAUUAAAAAAUCAAGCUUUUUCGAAAUUGUAUGAUAAUUCCUAAUUUAUACACGUUUUAUGACAUGGGUUUUGUUUCAUUCGUUGAUUCAAACAGAAAAAUCAGAUAAAAAUCCAAGAAACUGUGUAAAAUUGGGAAGAGCGGAAAAGGGAUCGGGAGGGAUACUGUUAUGAAACGAGCUCAUGAGAAAUAUCGCUGAAAUUCCAGUUGAAGGUUGAGAAUAUAAGAGAGAGAGAGAGAGAAGCAAACCUGGAAAUCCGAAGCAGCUGAUUCUAGUCGACAUAAUGGGAACCAGCGCCUGCUCAAACCCAGCGAGCGCUGAACUUUCUCAACGGGUGCUGAGUUCUGGCGCUCGUUGGCUUCUUGCCCGCGGGCGCUGGAACUCAACGCUCGCUUAAAACUUCAUGGAUUUCAAUUCUCGUGGUUCUUGGCCGGAUUUCGUCGUGUGUAUUUUUUGGAUGAAAUCCAUGAAAGUCAUUCCGGAUUUUAAGUCAAUGGAAUAACGAAUACACCUAGAUUUGUAUGGAUUUUAAAAAGUCUGAAACGAAUACACCCUGAUUUAUAUGGACUUUUAAAAGUCUUGAACGAAUACACCCAGAUUUCUACAGACUUUUAAAAGUCUUGAACGAAUACACCCAGACUUUUAAAAUCCAUAGAAAUCCAUUAAAUUCCACAACGAAUACACCCCCAUAAAUAUGAAACAACAACCGAUUGCCACGAAAUCAGAUCCUAAUGUAUUCUACAUUAAAUGAGAUUUUCAAUGACAGGUAGCCCAUCGUCAUCGGACCACCGUUCAAAUCGGGAUCAAGUGUGAUAGUUGGCAUCGUCGCACUAACUUUUUGGCGCGAUUUCAACUACACUGGUGGUCCGAUGACGAUGUGGUACCUAUCGUUAAAAAUCUCUUUUCGUGUGGAAUACAUUAUAUUCUAAUUUUGUGACAAUUGAUCAUCAUUUUAACUGUAAUUACUAUAAAGAAUAGUUUACUGACAUAAUUUUAAUGUAAUUAUGACUAGAAUUAAAUUAUUUCUCAAAAUUCAGGCUAUACAGAAAAUAAAUUAAAGCUAAAGUUAUAAAUUGAAAUUUAUUGAAAGUUCAUGCUAUAAAUUAAAAUUAUCCCUUUACAAAAUUAGUGGAAUUGUCACGGAACAAUUAAUUAAAAAGAAAGUCCACCGAUAGAAAAAUAAUAAAAAUGGUUAGUUGCUUGGAUUUUCUUUCAAAAACAUAAUCAUCAAGCAUUAUCGUUUUGUGAGAGGAUGUGUAGCAGUAUCUUUGGGUUAUUUCUAAACAAUAAUUCAAAGUUUGACUUUUUUUUAAUUGGAAUUAUAAUUAUAAUUAACACGAAAGUAAUUAUAUAUACUCAAAAUCAAAAUUUUGGAAUAAAUUAAGUUGAUCAUCCAACUGAGUUUUAUACAUCUAUAUAUUUGACUAGCCGAGCUUUAAUCAUUCAACUUAAUUUUAAUAAAGUGAAUAACAUAAAUAAAUAUGAACUAUUUUUAUAAUAAUUAUAAGUUCAAACUAAAAAUUUGUAUGGUCAAAAUUUGGAAUAUUUUUUAAAAAUAACCAUUGUUUUAAUACUCCAUAAGACAAUUGUAGAAUUUGCAAAAUUUAAAUAAAUAUUAAAACUUCGCCGUCUGUGGGAAUCGAACCCACGACCACAUGGUUAAAAGCCAUGCGCUCUACCAGCUGAGCUAAGACGGCUUGUGUUUAUAAUUUUGUCGUUUAUUUAUGAUAUUUACUAUUAGAGAAUUGAUUUAAUAAUUUCCCCCAUUUCCCCGUGAUUCAUCAGUUUUCAGUCUUUUAAUGUGAUACAGGGAAUUAUCAAACAAAUUUGUGGUACAGGGAAUUAUUGAUAAACAUGUUAUAUUCACUCUGUCCCAUGAAGCAUGACGCAUUUCUUUUCGGCACGGGAAUUAAGAAAUUGGUAUUUUGUGUGUUAAGUAUGAUAGGUGAAACCGUGAAAAAAUGAAAAUGUGAAUAAAGGGUAAAUUUUUUGCCAUUUUUAGAAACGUGUCAUGCUUCGUGGGACAGCCCAAAAAGAAACUGUGUCAUGCUUCGUGGAACAGAGGGAGUAGUAAAUAAAGAAACUAAAAGAUCGUGAGAUGAAAGACUCAUGUUCCUUAAAAAUUUGCCUCAAUAGGAGCAGCACGAGUUUUAAUAAAAGCAAUUUUUUUGGGGUGAAGGGAGUAUAAUUUAAACUGGAUAUAUUCUAACUCAAUAAGUCAGUAUAUAGUAUUGCAUAAAAUACUCGUAAUGACUUAAUAACAUUAUUAAAUUAAUUGGUAAAAUUUUCGUUUCUUCAAGGAUUGGAAUCCAUGUAAAUUUCUACCCCCUCUAAAUAAAUAUCAAUCAUAUAUUUGAAAAUAUAAUAUUACAGAUUCAUUCCCAUUUCUCAUCAUAUUUGUCCAUUCUUAUUGGAUUUUCUCCCAAUUAAUAUAGAGGCAUUCUUGUGUGCACCAUGGAGCACGGUGCUCCCGGGUCGCACUGAGAGUAAAUCUGGACAUAUUUGGAUUCAAAUUGAUACUCCAGAUCCAUAAAUACAAAUGGAUACUCCAAAUUUACUCUCAACCCGGGAGCACCGUGCUCCAUGGUGCACACAAGAAUUUGUGAUUAAUAUAUAUACAUCAAAAAAAUGUUGCAUAUUAAUAUACGUAUUUAUAAUUGCAUAAGAUAAUACUACAAUAUCAAUACGGAGUAUAUGUAGGCGAACUUUAAAUCGAAAAAAGAAAAAAGAAUAAAUUAAAUUAAUGAAUUGAUUUUCGGAAAUUAAUCUACAAGAAUAUAAAAAAAUGUAUAUGGUGCACCUAGAAAAUCCACCCUCAAAAUACUACAAAUAUAUUUUCUUUCUCCACAAAGUAUUUUGGUUGGUCAGUCUCACCCUGCACAACAAAAAAUUAAUAAAGAAAAUCAAUUCAACAUAUUAAUUAUAAAAUAUAUUUGUAUAGCUAAAUGUAUGAUAGUAUAAUAUGUACACAGAAAUUAGUUUUUCUCCUGAAAAUAAACUUAAUUAAAUUCGGGCGAUACCUUUGCAGUAAAAGUAAUUGCAACUUGAAUUUCACCGUGGUAACUAAGAUCAUUGAGAAUAACCCUAAACUUUUGUGUGCCAAGAUCCGCUUUGCCCUUCUCUAAUCCUAUUUCAAUUAAAUCCUUCACAUGGAUCCUGCAUAUAAAUAUUAAUUUUAAAAAAAAAUUAGCCAAACCAUUUAAUUAAAGAAACAUGCUAAAAAUGAAGAAGUGGAGAUUCAUAUAUAUUACAUAUAAAUGUAAUGUGUCUUAAAUUAUAUUGAAUUUGUGAUGUAAUUUAUUAUAUAUAGAGCUCCCUGGACUAGAAUGUCUUCGACUAUGUAAGAUAUUAAUAAUAUAUUUGGUAGAAUGUAUUGAAAUACCAUGAUGUGUUAAAAUCAUAUAUUUCGUAUUAUUAUUUUCGCCGGAUAUAAUUAAUCAUUAUUAUAAAUAUGAUUUAUAUUACGUAUGAAAACCGUACAACAUAACUAGUUUCAUAUUAAUUUUAGGGUUAAUAGUAUUUUAUGUCCCGAACUUUCAGCGUUUUCCACAAAAUAUUCCGAACUUUAAUUUUCUCCUGAGAAACCCCGAACUUUCAAUUUUUUUCAUAAAAUGUCCUGCUGUACAAAAUUCGGUGACAAAAGGAUGAAUUAUCUCACCGAAAGAAAUAUUUUGAGGACCGUCAUUGUUGGAAAACCAUAAAAGUUUGGGGUUUUUUAUCAUCUUUUCAUCACCGAAUUUUGUACGGAAAAAACUGAAAGUUCAGAGUUUUUCAGAAAAGAAAAAAUGAAAGAUCGGAAUAUUUUAUGAAAAACGCUGAAAAUUCGGAACAUAAUUAAUCAUGACUCUCAAAGUCGAACCGCUCAAAAAAUUCAUGUCUAGGUAACGCAUACAAAACCUAAUUAAAGAUAGAGAAAUAAAUAAAAUAGUGAGAUUAAAAAUUUAAAUGAAAAUGAAAUAGAACUUACGUGGAAUGACCCAAAAAAUCAUCUUUUCUGCAGGUGUCACGGUUGAAAAUACGAAGAAAUAGUUUGUAAUUAUUUUGGUAAUCAUCUGAUCCAUCCAAAGCUGGGAAUUCCACUUUAAAUUUGAACUCUUCAUUCCACACCAGUCUCCUACCUUGCCCUGCAACAUUUCAAACACUUUAAUUUAAAUUUAUUUCUAUUACACAAGCAUAUAUUUGAAUUUAUAAAAUACUAAAUUUUGAUCAAAUUUUGAUUUUGUGCACAAAAAUUAAAAGUCCGUCAAACAAUUAUUAAACUUAAAAGUUUGUCCAGCCCAAUUUAAUGUAAAUUAACAUGGCCGUCUAAACUUUACACAUAUUCAAAUCGAUAUUAGUUAAUUAUGUGCAAUUUCAGUCCAAAACGACGACGUUUUAGUAAGUUGAGCUGAAAUCCAACAUAAUUAAUAAAAUCGGUAAAUUCUGUUGAUGAGCAAAAUUAAAAUUUGAGCAAAAUUCAAACGGCUUACAUCUAUUGUCAAUAAAAUAUUUUGAAAUGCAAACGCGUGAAAAUCUAGUCCAAAAAUUAAUGUCUGAAAAACUCGUUGAUAUAGGAGAAGUAGAGAAAUAUUUACUACAAGAAAUAAUUAAUAUGACGUAAAUUAAAAAAGAAAAUAACAAUAGACAACGAAGCGCAACUUAAUUGAUAAGACGGAGAAUCAUUGAUUCUCCUUUGAAAAAGAAAAUAUCAAUAUAAUUAAUUACCUUUAGCAGUAGUGCUCGUGUACUCUUCAUUUCUAUAUUGAAUCACAACAUAUGGGUCGAUCUUACCUGUACCAUGCAUUAAAAAAAAUGUAUAUAACUAAUUUAAGCUUUGAAAAAACAUGAAAUCAAUUAUGCAACACCAAUUCUAUCUAGCAAAAAUAGACAGUAUUAAGUUUAACACACUUCUAACCUGCAAUUAAGUGUGUCAAAUCAAUUCUUUCGCUCUUAGAAUUCACUGAUUUUCACGUAAAUUUUAUUAUAUUAAUUUUUUUUUAUCCAUCCAACUAUCAAGGAUGGAUAUUCUCUGCAUAUUUUAAUAAAAAUGGCGAAUAGUAUCCAAAGUUGUCUAUUAAGGGGCCGUUUGGUUUGAAGGAUUAGAUAGGAUUGAAUUAGAUUAAUCUUAUCAUAUUUUGUUCGGUUGGGUGGAUACGGGGCCCGUGAUUCAAUCUUGGGAGAGUGUCACAUAGGAUUAGUCUUAGGGCAUGUUUGAUACCUGUCUUGGGAUAAUACAGGAUAGAUAAAAUGUGAGAUAUGUAUCAUAUAUAAUGUGAGAUUAAUAAUAUAUCUCAAUGUUUGGUAGACCAAGAUUCAAACAUAGAUAUUAUGAAUUAGUUGUUUGGUAUCCUACACUAAAAUCUAGAUUAAAUAAGUAAAUUACAAUUAUAUCCUUUUACAAAUUUAAAUAUCUUUAUAAAUUUAAAUAAGUAAAAAUUGAAAACAUUUUAAAAAAAUUGGUCAACACCCACCACCCCUUCACCAUUUUCUCUCUCCACCCCCAUUUCACAAUUUUUCUCACCAUCCUAUUGUCGCUCUUCACACUUUUCUUUCUCUGAUUUCUGAUUUUUUAGCUCAAUAUUUCUUUACAUUCUCUCCCAAAUCUUGAUCCCACAAAAACCCAAACACCUCCCUCCAAUUAUCGCUGAUCCCACCAAAAACCAUAAUUCUUUAACGCGAUUUCUUCAACCAAUUUUUCUUACAAAAUCCACUCAUUCGUAAAAAUCGGUUCUUGAGAAAAAACUGUGUCAAUGCCGGCGAAAUUCUUCCCACUGAGAUGGGAGAGCACCGGCGAUAGGUUUGGGUGCGCAUUCGAAACAGGUGCCAAAUUGGGAUUGAAAUGAAGCAAAUCUGAUCUGCGUCGGUCUGAGAUUUUGGGGUAUUGUUUUUGAGUUUCAGUCACCGGGAGUUUCUUCUGUAAAGCUUGCCAGAUUGUCGGCGGGACAUAGUAGAAAUGGGCAGCUGAAUUUCUUGGGUGAAUUUUGAAGGAAAAAUCAGAGGGCAAUUAAGGCAGAAUUUAACUUUUGAUAAUUGCUAGCAACGGUAUCGGAGGGGGGGCAUCGGUUGGGUAAUAUAGAUGGAACAGUAAAAAGUCACCGGGCCAAGCCUUUUUCCCGGGCUUCGUGGGAUGUGUAUCCAGACACCAAACACCCGUAUAAGUCCGUUUACCUUUGCUAAUACGGCUUCAACCAAUGCACCAAACACCCGUAUAAGUCCGUUUACCUUUGAUUCAAUCUUGGGAGAGUGUCACAUAGGAUUAGUCUUAGUGUAUGAGUCUUGGCGUAGCUCCUAUGACAAAAAUUAGUCUUGGGCCAACUCAAUCUUAGGUAAUAUCGGGCUAAUUUAAUCUCGGCCACGGAAAGAUAUGUUUUGGAUUAAAAUAAUACUCCAUAAUCAUAAAAAUAGUUGUGUAGAUACCAUAAGGAUAUUUGUGAUUUGUUGAGGACCGAAUUGCAAAUCUUGAAAGUUCCACUACUUCCAUACCAUUGAAAUACAUUGAUUCAUUUAUCGAAUUCUCGAUAUAGAGAAAUCAAUUGAUUAGAUUGAUGAUUAUGGAGUACAAAAAUUUAACAUAAUUUUGGCACCAAUUGUUUCACAUAAUCAAAGAACUAUGAUUAGAUUGAUGAUUAUUUAGAAAAUAAGCAUCACAUUUUUCAGCUAAGAGGCCACACACACACACAUAUAUAUAUAUAUAUAUAUAUANNNNNNNNNNNNNNNNNNNNNNNNNNNNNNNNNNNNNNNNNNNNNNNNNNNNNNNNNNNNNNNNNNNNNNNNNNNNNNNNNNNNNNNNNNNNNNNNNNNNNNNNNNNNNNNNNNNNNNNNNNNNNNNNNNNNNNNNNNNNNNNNNNNNNNNNNNNNNNNNNNNNNNNNNNNNNNNNNNNNNNNNNNNNNNNNNNNNNNNNNNNNNNNNNNNNNNNNNNNNNNNNNNNNNNNNNNNNNNNNNNNNNNNNNNNNNNNNNNNNNNNNNNNNNNNNNNNNNNNNNNNNNNNNNNNNNNNNNNNNNNNNNNNNNNNNNNNNNNNNNNNNNNNNNNNNNNNNNNNNNNNNNNNNNNNNNNNNNNNNNNNNNNNNNNNNNNNNNNNNNNNNNNNNNNNNNNNNNNNNNNNNNNNNNNNNNNNNNNNNNNNNNNNNNNNNNNNNNNNNNNNNNNNNNNNNNNNNNNNNNNNNNNNNNNNNNNNNNNNNNNNNNNNNNNNNNNNNNNNNNNNNNNNNNNNNNNNNNNNNNNNNNNNNNNNNNNNNNNNNNNNNNNNNNNNNNNNNNNNNNNNNNNNNNNNNNNNNNNNNNNNNNNNNNNNNNNNNNNNNNNNNNNNNNNNNNNNNNNNNNNNNNNNNNNNNNNNNAGAUGUUCAUGUCCAAAUUUUGGUAGAUUUUUUUGAACUUAUACCGAUUUAUGGUGAUUCUUACAAUAUUAACAUCGAUUUGUAUUUUUAUCUUGAAGCUACAUCAAUUAUUCCUACUUCUAAAAGCGUAAAUUAGGACAUGACUGAUAUACAAGAAUGAAAAUGGUGAUUCAUGCAUCCGUUCCCAAUUGUAUGAUUGGUAUAUUUUUUGUGAGGAGAGUCGUUAAUGUUUGAUAUUAGUCAUUCUUUCCCUCUCUCAUGAUAUUGUAUAUUUCCACGAAUAUAAGAUUACUAAAAAAUAAAAUUUUAUUUCUUUUUAAUGAAACUAUCAUAAUUUAUUUUUUAUUUUGACAAUUUUAAUUUUGCAUAAUAAUAAUAAUAAUAAUAAUAAUAAUGAUGAUGAUAUAUUCAAAUUAAAUGACAUUUGAAGUAAAUAAAAUAUCUAAUAUUUAGUUGACAGUCGAAAUUAAGUCAAGUAUAUUAAUUUUUGCCUUCUUAUAUAUCGGAGCUUCUAAAUACUCAUCAUUAUCAGAAGUUAGAUCAACAUCAGAUGAAAUUCUGAUUGCUAACUAAGCUCUAAUUUCGUUGAAAGUCAAACUUAGGUGAAAAUUGCAACAAAAAUAUAAAUUCGUGUAUUUUUUUUUUUUUUUUGCUUAAUUGAAAGUUCAUAUGAAAUUUACAACUUUUUUCAAAGUUCGUGUAUUUUUUUGUCAUAACCCCUAAAUUUAAUUGAAUACAUAGGCCUCGUGUUUGAUGAUAAUUUCUUCGAAGAUGUAAUUAAAACUCCCAAACAUUUUAUGAGAUGUUCAUGUCCAAUUUUUGUCAGAUUUUAUAGAACAUAUUUUGAUAUACUAUAAUUCUUAUAAUGUCAACAUAAAUUUCCAAUGAGAAAUCCAAAGAAAUUUCAACUGUACAUAAAUUUGUUAAAUUGGUGGUGUAAGCAAUUAAAACUCCCACACAAAAAUAAGUCAAUUCAUAUUGGGGACUACUGCACAACCUAAGCAACACUUCUCAUUGUGCCUUUUCAACUAAUUACAUAUACAAACCACAUUUCAAUUUGGGGAAGACAACUUUAGGGAGUCACUAAACUAGUUCACUUCUAGUCAAUUUUUGGUCUUUACAAAACCCCUAAAAUCGCGCGAUUUCGGGUCAUAAAUAUCACCGGAAAAUUGCACGGGGAGACGAAACGUCCCUCCGCCCACCGAUUUUCCCGCCAAAUUUUCGAAAAUCGGCCCCACGACGUCUCCUCUCCCGUGCAAUUCCCGGUGAUAUUCAAGAAACCCCCGGAGCAAAUUUGUCCAGAAAUCCCACAAUUUCAAGAUCUCUCAAGCCCAAAAAACACUAGACUAAUUUAGCCACAACCCUUCAAAAAAGAUUGCAUUUUUUUAAUCUUUUUUUCCCCUUAUAAUCAAGCAGAAGGUCUUGGAUAGGAAGCAGUUUUUCUGGUUGAAUUCUGUGCACUUUUAAUGUGAAGAUGUCUCUGAGCUUCUUCAGUCUUGAGAAUACCUGUGUCUUGAAGCUGUUCCAAAGCCUUCACGACCUCGUCCAUCGUGGGCCGGUACCUAGGCUCCAUGGCUAUGCAUUUCACGGCUAGUGUCGCUGCUCGUAGGGCCGCACCAGGCGUGUACUGGCCCUCUAUACGGGCAUCCAUGACACGGAGCACCCUCCGUUUGCUUGCUAGGUAAGGCCUCGCCCAUUCGAUCAGGUUCUGCUCUCCAUGGGGCCGGUUCUUGUCCAGCACGCGCCUCCCCGUCAGUAUCUCUAGGAGCACGACACCAAAGCUAUACACGUCGCUCCUGGCAGUCAGAUGGCCUACACAAGACAAGAAGAAACCUAAGAUCCCAAAAAAUAAAACAUGCUCCUUGAAAUGUGAAUGAAUGAUGUAAUGAUCAAAUUUUGAUCUAAAAUCUUGGCUCGUGACAUUCUUAGACGAAGAAUCGAGUAAAUCAACGGAAGGGCUUCGACAAUCCAAGUAAAAAUUUCAUGCAGUUCAAGAAUUUGUUCGAAUGUUCAUGUUGUAUACCUGUGGCCAUAUACUCCGGAGCAGCAUAGCCAUAGGUGCCCAUUAUUCGUGUAGAUACGUGGCUCCUUCCAUCGAGUGGCCCGUCCUUAGCCAGCCCGAAAUCAGAAAGCUUCGCGUUGUAGUUCUGUUGGCAAAAUAUGUAAGCAAAAACUUGCAGAGUUGUUUUCUUGAAUAUAUAGAGUGAAGUUAGAGAAUGAUCACACAUACAGCAUCAAGCAAGAUAUUGGAGGCCUUGAAAUCGCGAUAUAUAACUUUGGCUUCUGGGCUGUGAAGGAACGCGAGCCCCCUUGCUGCGCCAAGGGCGACCUUCAUGCGUAGAGUCCAGUCCAACGGCUGGAAAUACGAUGUCCCUAUUCAACAACAUGGCCAAGAGAUUGUGACAAACAAAACAAAAAAGUAUCUCCUUUUAAUAGACAUUCCACUAAUAACAACAACUCACUCCUGAAUAAGUGAUUCUCCAAGCUGCCACGAGGCAUGAACUCGUAAACCAGAAGCCUGUGCUCGUCCUCCAAGCAAUAGCCGAUCAGUUUCACUAGAUUCGGAUGGUGGAGCUGCCCUAGAUAAUUGAUCUCUGUCUGAAAAUCGAAGAGGGAAAAAUGUACCAAAUUUAGACAUUCUGAAUUUAAGGUUGUACUAAUUCAAGAAAGUGAGUUCUGCAUUUGAUCAAGCACAAUGAAUCCAUCAAACAAAUCCAAGAAUGAGUUGUACAUUUGAUCAAACACACAAUUUAUCCAUCAAACAAAACUACAAAAGAGAAGACAAGUGAUCCCAUUCUGAACUAAGGUUGUACUAAUCCAAGAAAGAGUAGUACAUUUGAUCAAGCAUACUAAUGAAUCCAUACAAACCAAAGAAAAAACAAGUGAUGCCAUUCUGAAUUAAGGUUGUAGUAAUCCAAGAAAGAGUUGUACAUUUGAUCAAACACACAAUGAAUCCAUCAAACAAAAGAAAAGACAGGUGAUGCCAUUCUAAAUUAAGGUUGUACUAAUCCAAGAAAGAGUUCCAAAUUUGAUAAAAAAACACAAUACUUAAUCCAUCAAACAAAAGAGAAGACAAGUUAUGGUAACUAACCAGCCAUUCUUUGUGACCUUGUGAACCUUCUUGAUUCAGUCUCUUGACAGCAAUAACCGUUCCUGUCCCCGCCUUGGCGGCUUUGAAAGUCUGCUCAUCGAUCCACCCUUUGAAGACGCAGCCAAAUCCACCCUCCCCCAACACACUGUCGGGGCGGAAGUUUCUAGUACAUAUCCUGAGAUCAUUGAAUCCGAAGCUCUUCAAACCCCCGGUGUCCAAGAUUUCACCCUCAUUCCGAGGGGUCAAUGGCAACGAGGGAGACGAGCGCCUGCUGCUCGUCUCCCCCCCAUCAAAGCUAACAUGCCUAGAACUUGGCCCUGCUUAGGAAAAAUCAUGUGCAUAAACUAAGUUAGCCAUCAAAUAAUUGGACAUCUUUGCAUCAACAACUAAUCCAAUAUCUAUUUUUGUGUUUUCUUUCCAAUAUUGAACAAUUUAGUAGUGACUUCGACAUCAACUUUGCAUCACAUCACAUUAACAUUAUGCAAGAAUGGAUAAUUGCGGCUAAAUACACGAACUUUCACUCAAUUCUGGUUUUGCACAUGAACUAUUGCAUUCAAAUAUACGAACUUUGAAUUGUUCUGAUUUUUCACAUGAUUGUCAAUUUCCGACGAAGUAACGCUAUCGUGACUAUCUGAAGUGACAAAGUAAUGCCAUCGUGACUAGCUGAGGCAGCGUAGACACUAACUACAUCGAUUGUUUAAGCUACGUAGAUAUUUCAGUCGACCACCUCAGCAUUAAUUCGGAGUUAAUUCACAACAAUGUGAAAUUUUCGAAGAAUUCAAAUAAUACAAAUCUAUAUUAUAUUUCUCCAACUAAAAUGAACUGCAUAUUUAGAACAAGAAACUAUCCACCAUUUCCAUAAAAGAAUACAAGCAAUUUUCAUGAUAAAAUGUGAACCUCAAACACAAAAUCCCCAAACCACCAAAAAAAUGAAAACACUCUCUAAUUAUCUUCAACUUGCAUAAAACUCAAGAAAAACAACAACUUUAAACACACACACACACACACACUAACCAUCUCUGUGAGGGCUAUGGUGCGCCCGUAUUCGGGCGCUGCAGCAAGAACCCAUCAAUUCUCUCUCCUCAAAGAGCAAGAAUCAGAGGUGUGAAAGGAGAUAAGGAUGCAAUUCAAUCUAGAGCGAAAACCCACAGCUGGAAAAUUCAAGCAGGAGGUGUGAACGAAGGAAAAGAGAAAUGUGUGGUGAAAGUGUAUUUAAUGUGUGUGUGUGUGUGUGUUUUAUUACGUGGGUUGGAGUUGGGAGUCACGAGAAGGUUGGCUUCCUAUAGGCAACCAGACAACCAGUCAUUACAAUUUUCAAAGCCAUAAGGGUUGACUUUUCCUUCUCACAUUUCAGUCAACUGUCGCUUCUGCAACUUGCUCGCGACGUAGAUACAUGUUUUGUAUGUAUGCGUUGGACAGUGAUGGACCAUAAUUUUUUGUAAAAAAAAUAGCUCAAAUUUUGAGCUUGCAUUUAUAAAUAUUACUCCGUCCCGCGAGUCUUGACAUUUGGGUUCAGCACGGGAAUAAGGAGUUGUAGAUUAGUAUUAAGUGUAAUAAUAAAGUAUAAAAUUGAAAGUAGAAGGAAGGUAAUAAAGUAUAAAGUAAGAGAGAUAUAAUAAAUGUGAUAAAGUAGGAGAGAAAGGUAAUAUAUUGCAAAAAGGAACGUGUAAGAUUCGUGGGACGGCCCAAAAAUGAAAACGUGUCAAGAUUCGUGGGACGGAGAGUACAAAUUUUCGUAAUAAGUUACUAUUUAAUUGGACAUUAUAUUUUUUAUCUGAAAAUGGCUGAAAACAUGAACACAAGUUUUCUUUAAGUUCUAGAGGUAAUCGUGUCUAACACACAAACUUAUUUUGCACAUAAAUUAAAAAAAAUGUCUAAAUAUACGAAUUUUCAUUUUGUGAUUUUGCACAGAUUGUUAAUUGUUCUCAAAUCAAUAUUGAAUGACCUUGAAAGCUAACAGAAUGAUGUAGUCAGCCCCGUUCCGGGGAUUUCAUGGGCCCUAGGCGAAAUGAGAAAAAAAUGGCCCUUUUAAUUGAAUAUGCUUGUGUGCUUGUGGGCCCUUUUUUUUAAUAGAAUAAGAUUGGAGCUUUUGGGUUUGUAUGUAUUUUUUUACUGAUUGAGGCCCAUUGUACAACUAAAAAAAAUUAUUUUCAUAUAAUAAUAGCAAUAAAAAUAAAAAAUUGGGGCCCCAUUUUGCCCUGGGCCCUAGGCGGCCGCACCCCGCGCCUAUGCCCAGGGCCGGGCCUGGAUGUAGUCGAUAAUGUAGUUGGAUGUCUACGUCGUUUUUGCUUGUCAUGGUGGUUUUGAUUUGUCAUUUCAGCCAGAAAAUUGAUGUAUGGGUGAAAAAUAAAAACAAUUAAAAGUUAGUACAUUUUAGAACAUAAUUUUUUCUCCCUCUGUCCCAUUUGAAAUGUCUGAAUCCUAUAAUUUUGAGACAUUUUCAAUGGAAAAAAGUAAUACAUAUCCAAAAUAAGAAUAAUGUGAAAUUUCUUGUAUUCACAUGUAACUACUUUAAAAAUAUAUAUUUUUAAUGGGAGUUGGAAGUAUUGAACAUAUAAAACAAAUAUAUAUAUAUAUAUAUAUAAUCAAAAUAGAAGAAGAAUAUUACUUUCUCCGUCUACGAAAUAUUAUCUUAAUUUGUCAUUUUUAUCCGUUCACAAAAAAUUGUCAUAAUUUAUUUUUAGUAAUAAUUUGUGUGUCUCUUUCUCCACUCACUAACAUGUAGAUCUCAUUCUUACUCACUAACUUAAUUAAUUUUUUUUUAUUUGUGGACUAUUAUUUUCACUUAAUAAAUAAAUAAUAUACUCCCUCCGUCCACGAAUUAAAGCCCCGUUUGAGGGUGGGCACGGAGACUAAGAAAGCUAAAAAAGGUGUUGUAGAUGAAAUAUAAGGGUAGUUGACUAAAGUGAUAAAGUAGUUGACUAAAGUGUUAAAGGUGUUGUGUGGUGGGUCCACUAGUGAUAAAGUGUAAUAAAUAUAGAAUAUAAAAAUGAUAAAGUUGUUGUAAGGUGGGCCCAUUAGUGGUAAAUGGUAGUAAAUAUAGGAAAAGAAGAAGAGUAAAAAGGUACAUAAAGCACAAUAGGGCUUUAAUUGGUGGACAAAAAUUUAAGUGCAAGUAUGGCUUUAAUUCAUGGACGGAGGGAGUAAUUUUUUUCAAAAUAUGUGUCUCCCUCUCUUAGGAUAAUAUUUGGUGGAGGAAGGGAGUAUAUGUCUAAACUAACAUCCUUGUGUAAUAGAAUGAGUCUCACUUACAGUGUGACGCCUUAAAUAGAAUGAGUCUCAGAUACAUUGGAACGGAGGGAGUAAUAUACAUAUACAUAUUACAAAAGGUGGGAUUUAAAAGAAAAAGAAAAAGAAUUAAUAGAUAUUUAUUUAUAUCAUGUGGAGGGAAGGUGGUCUUAUCUCUUUUGUUGUGUAAUGACCACCUUCUAGAAGAUGACAAACGGUGGUUGGCUUGCAUGCUUUUCCAGCCGUUGGAUUGGUCAGAUUUAUUUCUCCAUAUUUAUUUUUCUCACUAAAGUAAAAUUGAUUUAAAUUCAUAUAGAUAAACUUCAACCUUUGCUUGAUUAAAAAGAUAAUGUUGUUUGGAAUAUCCAAUAAUUUCCGUACCAUCGGCCUUUAAUUUAUUAUAUAGUCGCCACAAUUAUGGAUAUUGCAUACUUUAGUAGGGAGCUUCUUUAAUCAUUAAUGGAGACUUGCAGAAAAUUUUAUUAUCGUAGUUCAAAAAUUUAUGUUAGUCGGUUGAAUUUGAAUUUUUAAGUAAAACGGUGACGUUUAAGAGCUUUGAGCAGAUGUGAAGAUAAAAAAAAAAUGUAUAAUUUUUUUAACUAACAAGUUAAUUAGCUUUCGACGAGCUAUGUUACUCUUUAAUUGACUGAAUUUGACUCAAGCUAUAAACUUAACAAUAUAAAUAAAUUCAGAUUAUAUUUGUAAUUUUUAUAAAUUUAGAAUAAAAAAUCACUGUAUGAUCAAAAUUUGAGCUAUUUUUUAAUAAUUAUAUUUUUAUAAAUAAAUAACAUAUGUUGUUUAUAUAUUUGUACACUAUAAAAAUGUGUGAAAUUAAAUUCAAUGGACGAUACAGAAAUGAAAUAGUUAUCCGGAAAAUAAAAAUACUGAACACUAGAAUUGUUCACCCAAUUCCGUUAAACAAUCUACGUCUGAGGGGCCACGUCCAUGGGUAAAUCGUUUACUAAUGAUGAUAAGAUAUAUAUAGGACUUACACGACAGACUCUCUAGCAUUCUAGCCACGAUAUCUUCCCAAACGCUCACUACCGUAAACAAUUGAGAGAAGAACAACAAUCAACUCUCUAAGCGUGAAUAAACCCUAUUCACCACCAACACCCACGAAAUAAUCUUCACCAAUAGGCUGGUAAAGGGAAAAACAAGAAACCCAAAACACCACAGACUUUGCUUACAAACGUAAAAAGCAAAACUCGCUAGUUCGUUCACUCACGCACAGAACGAACUCGACACACUCACAAACAACUCUUUAAACACUGAAUAAGAGUAAUAAACACAGCCACCUCCAACCAAUAUUCUCGUCGCCAUAUAUAGACAGGGCGUGUGAAACCUUAAAAGAAAUAUUGUGAACCAAGGACUCUUCUUGCUGACUCCUUAUCUUCAAAUAACCAAGAAGAUGUGUCUGCUCUCGACUCAGAAAGCAAGUAUAUAUAUCUAAAAUCCACUAGACAUAUACUUCAAAAACGAAUAUAUAGCAGCAAACCUAUGUUUGACUGUACCAGCCAAAGUAUCAGACACUAACAGAUACUAUGAGAGCAAAACUAGCAAAUUUGUCUACAUAAUGACAACAACCAUAAGUAUCAAAUACUCAACAAUAAAUAAGUUCACAACUACCUUGACAUAUUAAUAUUUUCAUUAUAUAUCUUAUUAUAAUUAUGAUACUAUAUAAUGUUUCACCAUAUUAAUUUAUUGGAGAGGAAUAGUUCUCAAAGUUAAAGUUAAUAAACUCUUAUUUAAGAUAUUCGGGGCAAUUUUUUGGAACAUCUUGAUUAUAUUUUUUUAAAGUUUAAUUAUGUAAUGUCUCACCCUAUCACUUUCGUGGGGAGUAGGACUUGUGAAAGCUAAAAUUAAUAAAGUCAUUAAAGAAUUUUGUUGGAACAUUUUGAUUAUAAUUUUGUGGAUGAGAAAGCAAGAUAUAUGAAAUGAUUUUUUCAUAAAUUUUAUUUUGUAUACUCUUUUUUCACAUGUGGGAUUUUUUAAAAUGCUUCGCCUCGAGUCCUCAAUAUUCUUAAUCCGAUCAUAUGCAGCUAUGUAGAUAUGAUAAGAACAUAUAAUUGGUUUUUGAUUUAUUUAUUUUUAUCAUGUUUCCUUGGAUUGGUUAUGCUCCAUGUGACCUAAUAAAUUUAAAUAUGUUUAGUAUUCAUAUUGUUUGGCGUUGGAUGUNAAUGUCUAUAAGUACGUACUCCCUCUGUCCCAGCUGAAAUGUCCUGCUUUCCUUUUUGGGUUGUCCCACUUGAAAUGUCCUGUUUCCUUUUUUGGCAAUACACUCUCUCUCUAUACUUAAUAUUUAAAUAAUUUCCACCAACCCACUUUAUCUACUUUAUACACAUUUCUUAAUCUCCGUGCCGAAAAGAAACAAGACAUUUAAGCUGGGACGGAGGGAGUAUCUUUUUUUUUUCUUUGUACAUGAUUGUGGUGAUUAUUAAAAGCAUAAAGUAUUGAUCUUUAACGAAAAAAAUCCCAUUUUUAGCAAGUUGUGUGUGAUGACCUAGCAUCUAUGACAUAGGCUCAAAAUCAUCAUGUGCCUUUGAAAUUAAUUUCUAUAAACUUUUGUAUUUUUGUUAAUUUGGCUACAAGCAUUGAUAUUUUUUUUGGGGGGGGGGGGUGGGGUGGUCUGCCUUUUUGAAAAUAAAAUUAUUUAUAAUCUUAAGUAUCAUUCCAAUAAUACAUAAAAGUGCGUAUUGCAGCUUCGCCUUUCUUUCUCGAUAUGGUUUCUGAGUAUAAUAUUUUACUUAGGUAUCAAUCUUCAUAUAUAUAUAUAGAGGGCCGUGUUCAAUGGAGAACACCAUCAAAUUAUAUUGAACAUAUCAGUCAUUUUGUUGAACGUUCAUAUAUUUAACAUAAAAAUCCGUUUUACAUGACGUAAACAUAUACUCAUAGACGGAGACAGGGGGGUGGCUGGUAGUGGCCACCACCCCCCUCAAAAUUUUAAAAUUUUCUAAAAUGUAUAUAAAUGUUUAAUUAAAUAUAUGUGUAUAUACAAUUUUUUUAGUGGCCCAUUCUAUAAUCGAGCCCAAUAUAAUUUCUACUUAAAAUCCAAUUUAAUAAGUUGGUUAUACAAAAGUUGAUUUGCUUGUUAUAUACUUAUAUUCACUCAUAUAAUUUUUAGUGAAACUUGGUUAUACAAAAGUUGAUUUGCUUGUUAUAUUCACUCAUAUAUACUUAACUAAAGGAUAAUUGUGUUAUUUAAAACUAUAUAAUCUAUAAAAAAUAUUGUUCAUUAUUAUUAUUACUAUUAUUAUUAUAGUUGUCUUUUAAUAGAAAAUGUAUGAAAUGCCCCAAAAAAAUUUGUUUGUUAUUUAGAUUAUGCUUGUCUUUUAAUAAAAAAUAUCUAAAAUAUACGAAAUGUUCAAAAAAAAUUGUAAUGUAUUGAAACUAAUUUGUAAUAUAUUGAAACUAUAUAAUCUAUGGAAAUGUUGUUCGUUAUUAUUACUAUCAUACUCGUAUUUUAGUAAAAAAUGCCUUAAUUAAUAUACGGAAGUCCAAAAAAAUUUCUCAGGGACUACUGCCCCCGAACCCUCGUACAAAUUCAGCUCCCCACGAACUUAAUUCCUAGCUCCGUCCCUGCAUAUACUCAAUUUUUGGGGUUAUGGGGUUCGACCUUCUAUACGUUCAACAUAAAAAAUCGUUGAACAUGGUGUAAAUAAAUGUUGACCGUUAGAUUAGAUAAUAUCACGGCUAAAAUUUGUUAUUUGUNCGCCAUAUAUUUAUAUUUAGCAGCUAAUGAUCAGAUAUUGCAUAUUUAUAUAUAUAAAAAAAAAACUCUUUAAUUCACUAUUAUUUCUCAUUCCAUUUUAUCCGAGGCCUAUUUCUUUUCGAUACAAUUAUUUAAAAAUAUAAAAUUAAUUGUAAUAUAAAUAUGUGUGAGCUUAUCUUUAAUAUAAUGUAAGUGAUUAAUUAUGAAGGAAACAAAUUAAAUCAAAUGAGAUCGUUUUAAAAAAAUACACACCAAGUAUUUACUUUGAGACUGAGGACUUAAAUGUUUUUUAAUUAAAGAAGAAAACUACUGGAAAAAUGAAAUGCUUUUCUAAUAAUGAUAUAUAGUUGGUAGAUAAUCAGAUAAUGAAACAAUAUUAAUAUUCUUUGUUUGAUGCAGCUAUGACUUUUAAUUACUCCCUCCGUCCACGAAAGAACUUUCUAUUUUUCUAUUUCGGGACGUCCACGAAAGAACUUCCUACUUUUUUCUAUUUUGGGACAAUACCCCACCAAAGACAAUUCCCACCACUCAAAUAACAUUAAUUAAAACAACACAAUAAAUUAUUAAUACUUUUUCACAAUUCUCAAUACACUUUACAACAUUUUCUUCACUCUCAAUACACUAUACAACAUUUUAUUAAAACCCGUGCCACUCCCUCCUAGGAAGUUCUUUCAUGGACGGAGGGAGUAUUAAAAAAAUUGUUCAUUUAAUUUCUUUGACUAUGUCUUUCGACAACCUGCUAAUGUCUAUAAGUACGUACCUUCUUUUUUUCUUUGUACAUGAUUGUGGUGAUUAUUAAAAGCAUAAAUUAUUGAUCUUUAACGAAAAAAAUCCCAUUUUUAGCAAGUUGUGUGUGAUGACCUAGCAUCUAUGACAUAGGCUCAAAAUCAUCAUGUUCCUUUGAAAUUAAUUUCUUUUUAUACUUUUGUAUUUUUGUUAAUUUGGUUAAUUUUUUUUUUGGGGGGGUGGGGUGGGGGGGGGGGGAGGCGGGUGGGUGGUCUGCCUUUUUGAAAAUAAAAUUAUUUAUAAUCUUAAGUAUCAUUCCAAUAUAUAAUAAUACAUAAAAGUGCGUAUUGCAGCUUCGCCUUUCUUUCUCGAUAUGGUUUCUGAAUAUAAUAUUUUACUUAGGUAUCAAUAUUUAUAUAUUAUCACGAAAUUAAGUUUAUAUUUAAUUCGAUCCACCAUGUAUCUAAACCAAUUGUAGCAUGUGCUAGGGCAUAAAAAAGCCUAUUUGUUUGUGCAAUUUUCCAAUACUAUAUUAUUCAUACGUAUUUUAUUUAUGAAUAGACCAAUCAUAUUAUUAUAUAUGUAGGGUAUAGCUUUGACUCAUGAAGGGAAGAAACAAACAAUGCAUUCACAUUCAAAGAACAAGAAAAAAUUCCUAGUUUGAUUUUAUCAAAUUGUCGCUAUAUUUGCUAAUUUGGAUUAGCAUGUCACUUUUGAUUAUGAAUACAAUAAUAUUUUAAAAAAUUAGAAAAACAGAAAUAUGUUACUAAUUAAAAAGUGAUUUGACUUUGGAACUAUGAAACACACCAACUGGCCUCUCCUAAUCUUGGUCCCAUUAUGAUUUACUAUUUUUUUAUCUUCUAUUUUAUUGUGUGGUUAAACAUGAAAAGUCAAUAGGUUGACUGCAUUAACAUAUGGCAUUUAUUUAAGCUUUAAAGACUUAUGUGCUUUAAUGAUUCCAAGGGGGAUGCACAUUUCACAAAAUGAAAUUUUGGUCACGAGAUUUAAAUCAUAGUUAAUAAAUUUAUUCAAAAUUUAUAUUCAUUUUGUCUUCAAAUAAGUGUCAUAUUGUAGAGUUCUUUUUAUCUCUUUUUUAAAGUCGCAUUGUAGACUCUUGAAAUAAAAUUAAGCUAAACUUAUAAUUCUAUCCAUAUAUUAAUAUUAGAACUAGAUGCAUUGUCUUUAUUUUUUUCUUCACUUAAUAGAUAGAGAGAGAAGAUAAUCAAAGUUAAAAUCUUGAAGUCAAGAAAUAUAAUUAAUGAUAUACAUGUAAAAUUAUACUCCUCAUAUGACACUUAUUUAAAGAUGAGAGAAAUAUGUUAUAUACUCGAACUUAUUUGAACCAUCCUUUCUCUUUCUAUAAUUAGAAAUAAAUAAAAAUUUGAUUUUCUAUAAAAGCUGCGAACUACUCCUCCCGUCUCAUAAAAACAUGCAUAACUCAUUUAUAGUAAUAAUUCUUUCACUGAACAUCAUAAUCAAUGUGAGACCCUUUCUCCACUCGCACCAUACUUUACAUGAUUUCUUAAAACCGUGUCGUCCCAAACUAUACAUGUUUUUAUUGUACUGAAUUAUACAUUCAACAAAUAUCGUGAAUUACUUAUGAGAGUAGAUGAUGAUGAGAAAAAAAAAAUCAAAAAAACAACAAUAACAUUUAACUGCCAUUUUCUUUAUAAAAAAAUAAAGGCUCCCUUUUUUGGGCCCAUGUAUCUGCAAAGGAAAUAUUCAAAAUGGGCCAAACAUCAUCUCAAAAAAAUUGAGCCAUCAUUUUUUUAACAUCUAUUUUUGAAAAAUUAAACCACAAUGGACCACUAUUUUGUUAUUGGGCCACGACCCAUUUUAUUUGAAAUAUUUGGGCCUACGACACCCAAAUCAGACAAUAAAAAAAUGAUGCCAUUACCGCUGUGUAGAAGAAGUCACUAUCCAACUUUGUUUCUCUUUGCUCAUUCUAAAAAAUAAACUAGCCAAAAAAAUAUUAAUCCCUUCGUCUUAAUUUUUAGUAUUUAUAUCUUUUUUUUAAUAGUCUCAUUUUUUGUUAUUCAUUUCUAUUUUUAAUAAAAGUAGGCGUGACUCUUCACUUGUAAAAUCUUAUGAUCGAACCACGUAAAAUCUUUGUUGUCUUUAUUAUUUUAUUUAAAUGUAUUGAUACUUGUUUCAUCAGACGUUGCUUAGUAGAUGAUAUAGAUAGAUGAUGUGUGUUACUUAGUAGAAUUCAAAUAGUGGAAAAUAAAGAAUUGUGAGUGUGCUUAGUAGAAAGAUUUGUGCCAUUUCAUACUACAGUUUUGGUGAAUUUAAAUGAGACGUUUAAUUUGCAUGAUUAAUUAUUUUUUAUCCUUAAUAUUACUCCCUCCGUCCAUGAUUUAAUGCCCUAUUUGGGUGUGGGCACGGAGACUAAGAAAGCUGAAAAAGGUGAUGUGGAUGAAAUAUAAGGGUAGUUGACUAAAGUGAUAAAGAUAGUUGACUAAAGUGAUAAAGGUGUUGUGAGUGGGUCCACUAGUGAUAAAGUGUAAUAAAUAUAGAAUAUAAAAAUGAUAAAUGUGUUUUAAGGUGAGUCCAUUAGUGGCAAAUGGUAGUAAGUAUAGGAAAAGAAGAAGAGUAAAAGCGUACAAAAAGCACAAUAGGGCAUUAAAUUGUGGACAAAUUUUUAAAGACAAGUAGAGCAUUAAAUUGUGGAAGGAUGGAGUAGUAAUUUUUAUUUUCAAUUCCACUCUUUGUUGCAUGAUUAAUAAGAUAUAUCAUUGAAUAUUUUUAUUCUCAAUAGUAUGAUUUCUUCAAUGAAAUAUAAAUAAAAUAAAAUUAAUUCAAACACAUUAAAAUAUAUCUAAAUUUGAAUUCAUCAAAAUAAAUAAAUAAUUAAUUCUAUUAUUUUUAUUUAUCAAAGCUCAUUCUCAAAAAAAGUAUACUAGCAACAAAAAAAAAAAUACUCCAUUAACUAUAGCUCCAUUUUGGAAUUUGGACAAUGAAUCUUCAAAAAAAUAAAAAAAUAAAUCAAAACAACGUUUUGCUUAUGCUAUUUCAAAAUAUAAAAUCAAAUUGCCUCAAAAAAUAUAAAGUCAAAUUUCCCACAAAAUUCCCGCCAUCACCUGCUUGAGAGUUAGGGCUGGGAGCUCACAUCCUACUCACCUCCGCCCAUCUCCAUACAACCGCCGCAACGGAAAAUGGCCGGCGCCUCCGAUCCCCAUGGCUCCGCGUUUUCGGCCGCAGAGGUCCGUUUUCAUCUUUCUCAAGUUUCUCCAAUCGCUUCGAUUCGCCAAUUUUCUCAGUUUUACCUUCAUUUUAUUUAUAUUUAUUUAUUAUUUUUAUUUACGCAGCUGGAGUUUCUUGCGGAGGAUGAAAUGAUUGAAAUUGUUCCGAAUUUGAGAAUGGAUCCGCUCAAUUUUAUAUCUGUAUGACUCGUUCUGUAAAUCUCCCCUUCUUACGCGUUUAAUUGGAUUUCCUUCUCAAGCACAACAUUGAUGUUUUAAUUUACUGUUUGUGGUUGAUUUCCUCUGCUAACAGGGGGAUUUCGGUCCUUUUAGACCCCAAAUACCAACUCAAGCGCCGCUGUGGCUGGCCGUGGCCUUGAAGAAGAGAGGGAAGUGCACAAUUCGAGCUCCAGAGUGGAUGUCUGUUGGUGAGUUCGAAGCAGAAACACUCAUUUUGUGAUUAAUCUAAUGGAAUUACGACGAGGCGUUAUUACUGUUAAUACUGGGAAAAAAUUAGAGUGAUAUCUAUUUAGGUUAAUCAGUUAAUCUUAUUGACUUCUUUUGAUCGAUUUGCCAAUUCAUCUACGCAGUCGAGCCUAUCCUACAAUCGUCCAAUUCUUUUUUUUUUUUUUCGUAUAAUCCAAAACACUUCUCUUCAAAAUUCACAGAUCACAUACGCAUUUUCUUUAAGAACAGUCAGUUUUCCAUUAUUGUCUAUGUGAGUUGCUCGCUUCAAGGCCGGCAGGUUGGACCAAUUUGAUAGAGUGCAGUGCAAUCAAAGGCCAGUGCACUGGUUAUUGAAAAUGGAAAUUAGAGAGAAUCAAAAGACUGGCGUGCCCAGCGAAAAGCCAAAUUAUUAUCUAGUUUCCUCCAUGAUCCCUUUCUCUUCAAUCUAUUCUAUUAAAAUCUCCUUUUUCAUUCUAAUGCACAUAGCCAAAAUGAAAUUUUCUUAUGCUAUCGAUAUCUGCUUUUUCCAUAGAUAAGUUAUCACAAGUACUGGAAGCAGAGCGAGAUUCGGAGAAGUUUCAGCCUUUGCCAUUUCACUAUGUAGAAAUAUCAAGGCUUCUUUUUGAUCAGUAAGUAUUUAUAUGUAAUGAUUUAAUUUAAUUUUUCCUGCAUUUUUGGGCAACGGUUUUGAACAUAUAUAUAUUCUCUUUGUGUAGUGCACGAGACGAUAUUCCUGAUAUCUACAUGGUUAGUGAGCUGUUGUCAUGUUCAUAUUCUUUCUUUGGCCUAUCAUUGUCCUGGAAUCUUGAUUCCAAUUUCCAUAUAGGUAAGGUCCCUCAUUGAGGACAUCAAGGAUGUGAGGUUUCAUAAAAUCGGGAAAGGCUUGGAGAUUAUCUCAAAGGAACGUACUUAUGCGCUGAGGGUAUGAAAUUUUGCUUCAGUUUGUAAUUCCACUGCUGUAUAUUAGUCUACAGGGCUAUGUGGAUACAUAUUUGGUUUUGCAACUUUUUGAUGCCUUCAGUUAUGAUAAUGUCUUAGAAGUGUGAGUUCCUUUUCAAUAUCAUAUUCAGUGAAGAAAACUAUUGUCUAUCAUUGUUAAAUUGGUCUAUUUUGUGGAUUGCCUGUUCAUAACCCUCUUGGACUAUUUUUAACGAUCUUACAAUCACUGUCCUAUGUAUGCUGUGAUGGGUUCGGGUCUCAGUAUGGCUGUUAACUCUGUUUCUUGAUAAGGAUGUUUCUCAGUUGUAAUAUUCAUUAGCACAAUAUCUGGUAGGUGGUAACUCGUAUAAAAAAUGCAUUUGUGAACCAGUCGAGAAUAUCUGGUGGCAUCAUUUCGAUAAUUUAUGCAAUAUAUUUCUUCUCAUUUUGUCACAUUUGAUAGUUGUUAGUGAAUGGAAAAUCAAUAUGAGAUUGUUUAAUAUGUUAGUGCGGAUGAAACUAUUUGUAUUUUCUCCCUUCUCAUCAUUAUCCUCAAAACUUGCAGCUCAAGAAUUUAUCUGCUAUGGAAGCAAAUAUAGUGCGCCCAUUUGUUACAAGAGCUCUCGAGACAUUUUAUAAGCUUGGUAGUUCUGAUAUGAUACAAGAAUCGGACCACGCUCCUAAUAGACAACAAGCGACCAAUCGUGGGCCAAGAGUAAGUUGCAUGAUUAUGCUGUCUAAUCCCCCUUACGACUCAAGUUGGCAUCCCCUAUCAAAUGGUUCAACAUACACUUCUAAAAGUAAAAAUUACUAUUAUUGCUCAUAUAUCCAAAUCUUUUCGGCCAGCUUACUCAUCCGCCUUUUUCAAUACUCCAUCAAGCAUUUGAUACUUUAUUAUAACUUGUAGCAUUUGGUAAUAACCGAAAAUAGAUCAUCUGACUGUUCUAGUCAUCGUUACGAGUGACUGUGCUUGUUGACUAUCUUCUGCUCUUGAUUUUCAGCGGCAACUGAAAGAUAGAUGAUUCCUAUCUCCGGAGAUGCUGUACAAAUGUAUUUGUAAUGGUAUCAAACUACAAAUAGUGAGUUCCUCUAAUUGGAUCUAACGGCACUCUGACUCCUUUAUAUAUUUAUCCAACAAAUGUUUCGCCUUUUCUGUGAGAGUGACUGAGUUGAGGAGAAGAAUCAAUCUACAACAGAUGGCCUCUAAUCUUAUCCAAGGACACCUUUAAUUAAAGUAAGGCUAUUCCUUGCAUUUUAUUCAGCUGCUAUGCAUUUCUGCUGGUGAUAUGCAUCCUUAUUCAGUUAUUUGUAUAGUUCUACGGUGGUUUGUGAGGGACAUCUAAUUGCAUAAUCAUAUUUUUGUGAAACAGUCAGCCAUAAACAUGUCUAGUUCAAUAAAAUUUAUCAGUAAUUCAAAUUGUGUGUGUUGUGUUUUGUUGUUAAGGUUUUUAUCUCCACCAAUGAUUAUGGCAGUUGAGAUUCCUAGACAUGCUGAACUGGAGUGCUCCUAAAUUGGUGUUAUAUAUUUGCAGUUUGUUGCUUUUGUCUUAGUUAACUGAAUACCUUUUGAUGGUAAUAAUACCUUUUCAUUUUUUAGCUGUCCCUAAACUUAGAGGUCUGCUAAAAAUCACACACACACACACACACACACACAUAUAUAUAUAUAUAUAUAUAUAUAUAUGUUGAAUCUGCCUUCCUGACUAUCUGGAUGUGUCUAACUCCUAACAUGUAGCAUGUGUUCUAGGAGAGUUACUUCCUUAAAUUAAAAUCUUAUAUGCAUUCUUAAUUCUUGUAGACACAUGUCAGGUUAAGAGUGUUUAGUAAAAAAAAAUAUAGAUUUAUGACACAUUUUUUAUAUACCUGACAAUUUGUAAUAAAAUUCUAAGAAUAUGUGACAACUCUAAAGAAAUACAUGGUCGACGACUUUAGGCAUAUAUCAUCAUACGUCUAUGAUUAGUAUUUGGUUUAAACCAAUAAUUAGGUCGUGUUUAGAUGCUCGAGCUGGACAUUGCUAUAUUCUGUCUAUGUUAGUCUUUCAUACAAUUAGGUUGCAUAUGCAUGUGCAUUUAUACUCCAUUUCAAUAAUUCUGUUUUAUGUCUUUUCCACUCAAAAUGCUUUUGUAUGCUUAGUUUCCUAUCUUUUUGUUGUUGGGUUAUUCUUUAAAAAUAGCCUUAACUUUGAUCUCAUGAUUAUUUUUUAGCCUGAACUUACGAUUAUUAUAAAAAUAGCUCGUACUUAUCUCUAUUGUAUAGUUUGUAGCCCGAGUGAAAAAUUUCAACCAAAUGAAAUUGAUCAUUCGAUUGAGUUCUAUACAUCUAGACACUUGACCAGCUUAUCUUUGAUCAUUCAAUUUAAUUUUGGCUAUUUGAGUUCAAUAUAUUUGUAGUUUUGAUUUGAAGAGUGGCUGAAAAUUUUGAUACGAGCUAUAAGUUGAACAACAUAGAUAAGUACGUGCUAUUUAUAUAAUAAUCAUAAAUUCAGACUAAAAAAUUAUAAUGAUGUCAAAGUUUAGUGUGGAUUAUAUAUUCAGCCUAAAAAUACGUACUUACUAUUUAUGUAACACUAGGAUUAUUUUUUGUAAGAAGUUAUUUGAUUAUAUAAUAAAUAUUUUUUGUAAUUUUCCAAAAAAAAAAUCUACUGAUAUCGUGUUGAUUGUAUUUUUAUUUGGAUUUAAAAAAAAAUAUACUAUCUUGAUUGUUGGUUUGAAUAUGAUGUAGUUUGUACUUAAUUUGGUCAAUUUAUUGUAAUAUAUUUUCAAUAUUAUCUAAGAUUCGUGAAUAUAUUGUACUCCCUCCGUCCCAUAAAGCGUGACCCAUUUCUUUUCGGCACGGGAAUUAAAAAAUUGAUAUUUUGUGUGUUAAGUGUGGUAGAUGAAAAAGUGAAAAGGUGAAUAAAGGGGAAAUUUUUGUCAUUUUUAGAAACAGGUCAAGCUUCGUGGGACAACCCAAAAAGGAAAGUAGGUCACGCUUCGCGGGACGGAGGGAGUAAUAUAUAUGAAGUUACUAGAGUAUAAUAUUAACUAAGAUUCGUGAAUAUAUUUAUUUCUCUUUCUUUAUUUAAGCCCAUUGAAAAUGUUGAAAUAAAGGAGGGAGCAAGUGUUUGAACUUUUGAAAUAUUGAGCCAUCUAAAGUUGAUUGAUGUCCAUCAUUAAUGUAUACUUUUUAACAUUUUGUUGUGACAAUCAUUAUUGUACAUAUACUUUAGCAAAAAGGCGAUUCAAGCUGUGGUCAAAUAAUUGAGACUUUUAAUAAUCAUAAAAAACUAAAAAGAAAAUUCAGCCAAUGAGUGAUCCACAUUUGUACGUGGUCCAUUUUACCCCUGAAUACACCUUUUGGAUUAUUUAUAAAUCAUAACAAUUGAAGCAAUUGUAAUAAUGCUUCAAUUGUAAUAUAAGGGUAUAACCCAAAAUUAAUCCAAAAACUAUCAACAGUAAUUAAUAAAAUAACAAUACUCAAAUUGAUAUUCAGCACCUAUAUAUGUAAAACAUACAAUCAUCAAACAGAUCAAAAUCAGAUAAAUUCAAAUUCAUAUUGAAUAACAUUUUAAUUUUAUUAAUGUUUAGUAGUGCUCAAUCCGAAUCUUGAUACUUAUAACGAAUCUUGACUAGUUAAAUAUUUUAACACACUUUUUUUUUUCUAAUAUAAAAUAUUAUCGACAAUUUAUUGUGCUCAUAAAUUGAAUUGGACACGUCUCAUUAUUCAGUUUGUGGAGUAAAUGAUAUCUUAACUUGGCCAAUUCAAAAUUUUCUCUGCCUUUUUGCAUUUCACGAGUUAGUUUAUAAUCAUAUUUUAUAUGAAAAGUUCAAAACAUAUCAAUUUAAAACUGUUUAAAACUGACGCAUCCAUUUUAAGAUCAUAUAUAGCUGCCAUUUGCCAAAGGAUAAAUACACGGCAAUUAAUGAACGUGGGCCGUUUUACCGACCACAUUCACUCCACAAACUCGAUUAUGCGUUUGUAUAGAUCAAUUAUGAGGCAAAAUGAGAUAAAUCUUAUCUAUUACUAAUAAAGCUAAAUUCUGUUGACUACGUUUAAGUGACAAAGUUGAAGCACUCAUUUUUUUAUAAGAAAUUUUGGAUUCAAUCUCACCAGUCGUGCAGAUAAAUUUUACAUCUUUUGUGUGGUGUAGUAGUUUUGGCUAUGUGCAUAUAGUUUUUCCAUAUUUAUGUGAUGUAAAGGUUUCGCCGACAUGCGAAUAACGUAUUUGAUUAUAUUUAAAUAUCUGUGUAGUUUUAAUUUAAAAAAUAAUAGUCUAAUUUUGUUAAAAUAUUUAUAUUAUUACGAUAAACGAAUGCACGAAGAGACGCGUCUUAUGUUUAAAUUAUAUAUUUUUUUUAUUUACAUUUUCUUUAACUUUUUAUUUGUUGUUACAUUUCUUUCAAAAAUUGUGAAAUUCGAUUAAUUAUAAAAUAUUUAUUAUGCAUAUCAAAUUAAAGAUCACGGUAAGAGCUUUACUAUGAUACUAUAUUUUAUGAUUAAUUUUUCAUUAUAUUUAUAAAUAUAAUAAUUAAAUUGGUAUUAAUUUUAUAUAAAUAUAAAAAUUAAAAAUAUUUUGGCGUGCAAUCUUGCAAAUGCUAGUCAAGAUUAUAAAUUAAAAUUUGCUUCAAAUUAAGAUUAUAAACUAUAAUUAAUUUAAUGUAGCAUAUAAAUCGUGGUUGUUAUCGUGGCGUGUUUAAGCGUUAUCUCCACCGAUUUCUCUCGUCACAAAUUUCUCGUGAGCAGUUUAACUUGCCCAUCACGAAACAUAUCGUGCUGUCCUUUUCCGUCAUUUCACAUCUCAUACAGAUAUGUAUAUCUGUCAUCAUCAACUCCGCCUGCCAGUUGCCUUCUUCGUCUUCCUUCUCUUCUCUGUCCACCUAUAUCUCUUUUCUCUCUCUUCUUAUUGCGAUUAUUUUCAUUCUUAUAUAUAUAUAUGUAUGUAUCUAUAGGAUGAUUCAUUUCUAUUCAUUAUCCGUUUCUGGAUUGGGGAGCGGUGUUUCAACAACAAAUCCGAGCUCAUUAAUCUGCUGAUUUAGGUUUCGUUUAGGGACACAAAUGGUGCAAUUGUUUUACAGAUUUACAAAAUUCAGAAAUUUCGAAUUCGAUUGACACGUAGCUGCCGUUCAAUCAGGAUUCGAAUUCGUCAUCUUCGUUUCCUCUGUAUUUUGUUUGUGAAUUGUUUUUUUUGUGUGUCGCAGGAAAUUUUGUAGGUAUUUUUUUUUUCCUGUUUCUAUAUUUUUUUUCGUUGUUUUUCUUUUUUUGGAUCAAAUUUGAUUUGUUUCGUGUAAAGACGAUGGAGGUUUGAGAGGAAAAGAAGAUUCGAAUUUGGUAGAAGAGUAUUGGCGUUGGUGGUCGGUGGUUGGUGCUGGAAUGAACUGCAAGGUUUAUAGGUCGUCGUCCGAUGAGUUGUGGGCGAGGCAGUCGAACGGAGGAGGGGGAGUGAGCCAUGAGAGCGAGCAUGAUUUGGCGCUCAUGGUUAAUGAUUUCCUCGAGAAUGGGAAUAGUUGUGGCGCUGAUUCUCGAUACAGCAGCGAUAGCGACUCCAGCCUCUCUGAUCUCCUUCAGCUCGCUGACAAAAUCUCCGUUAGUCUCUCUCUCUCUCUCUCUAUAUAUAUAUAUAUAUAUAUAUAUAUAUAUAUCCUCUCUCUGUAUAUAUGCUUAGAGGUGUGCAUGUGUGUGUUGGUUAAGGAAAUGAUUUUGAAGGAAACAAUUGACAGGUUAAAUGUCUUGAUGAAUAGUGUACUUGAAAAUUGAAAUCGAGCUGUCGCUUUUGUAAAUUCAAUUCUUUUUUUCUUCUUUUUUUGAGGUAUUGUGAAUUCAAUUCUAUGCUAUAAUUUUCUAGCUGAAUUAUGCGCAUGCUAGAGUGGCUCAUUGUUUUGGUGAUAGUAAUUGGAUUUAUGGAUAGGGUAAUAAAUGACCUGUAGCUGGAAUUAGGUGGAUCUUUACUACUGUAUGCCUGGAUUUAAGGUAAAUUUGGUGCUUUUGUACACUGACUUUAUGUUCACGUUUUAUCAUGAAUAUAGAUUAUUGAUUGUUGGUGUUGAAAAGGAAAUUGGGUAUAAAAGGAAUUUAGCACAGUGAGUAUAAUAAAUCUUGAUUGUUUCCUGAAUUGUUCGCCUGUAAACUUCUGCUGUUUCCUGUGGCAGUAGUUUUAACAUAUCAUUAAAUUAGAGUUGAGGAAUAGCUCAAAUUUCAUUACUUUUAUCUUCUUUGGGGAUCCAUGAUGGUCAGUCACAUUUACAUUACUCAAAUGUUUUUUACAUAUUGAUUUUAAGCAUGCGGUUUAUGCGUGAAGAAUCCAUAUGUAUAUGAAAGCUAAGCCUUCAAAUCUAUUACUAUCACUUAAGCAACAAUUUCUUUCAACCCCAACCUUUGUCAAAAAUAUAAGUAAUAAUUUAUGGAGAACCUGUGAUAGUUUUCAGUCCCAUGUGAUAAAUGUAUGUUUUUUUCUUGGGCACGUUUCUUCUUUGUAAAUACCAAUUUAAAUUCUUCUGUUGCCAUUAUUUUGUCAAACUUUUUGCUUGGUUAUUCGUUUACCUAUNUGAACUAGUUGUUUUGGCUAUGUGCAUAUAGUUUUUCCAUAUUUAUGUGAUGUAAAGGUUUCGCCGACAUGCGAAUAACGUAUUUGAUUAUAUUUAAAUAUCUGUGUAGUUUUAAUUUAAAAAAUAAUAGUCUAAUUUUGUUAAAAUAUUUAUAUUAUUAUGAUAAACGAAUGCACGAAGAUACGCGUCUUAUGUUUAAACUAUAUAUUUUUCUUUUUAUUUUCAUUUUCUUUAACUUCUUAUUUGUUGUUACAUUUCUUUCUAAAAUUGUGAAAUUCGAUUAAUUAUAAAAUAUUUAAUAUGCAUAUCAAAUUAAAAAUCACGAUAAGAGCUUUAAUAUGAUACUAUAUUUUAUGAAAAUAUUUAAUUUAAAAUGUAAAAAUUAAAUAUGUUUGUAUAUUAAAGUUUUAUAAAUCUCUCUUUCAUCUCUCAUCUUUUUUGAAUAAAUAUAUUUUUAACUUAUUUUUUUGUUUUGUUUUUCACAAUAUCAAAUUUUAUAAUUGUGAUUUUUUUUUUAUAUUUUUUCAAUAUUCAAUUUAAAUAUAUUCAAUCAAAAUUAAUUUUUUUAUUAUAUUUAUAAGUACUCCCUCUGUCCCAAACGAAAUGUCCUAUUUCUUUUCGGCACGGAGAUUAAGAAAUGUGUAUAAAGUAGAUAAAGUGGGUUGGUGGAAAUUAUUUAAAUAUUAAAUAUAUAUAGAGAGAGUGUAUUGCCAAAAAAAGAAACAAAAUAUUUCGUUUGGGACAACCCAAAAAGGAAAGCAGGACAUUUCGUUUGGGACGGAGAGAGUAUAAUAAUUGAAUUAGUAUUAAUUUUAUAUAAAUAUAAAAAUUAAAAAUGUUUUGCAAAUGCUAGUUAAGAUUAUAAAUUAAAAUUUGCUUCAAAUUAAGAUUAUAAACUAUAACUAAUUUAAUGUAGCAUAUAAAUCGUGGUCGUUAUCGUGGCGUGUUCAAGCGUUCACCGAUUUCUCUCGUCACAAAUUUCUCGUGAGCAGUUUAACUUGCCCAUCACGAAACAUAUCGUGCUGUCCUUUUCCGUCAUUUCACAUCUCAUACAGAUAUGUAUAUCUGUCAUCAUCAACUCCGCCUGCCAGUUGCCUUCUUCGUCUUCCUUCUCUUCUCUGUCCACCUAUAUCUCUUUCUUCUCUCUUCUUAUUGCGAUUAUUUUCAUUCUUAUAUAUAUAUGUAUGUAUCUAUAGGAUGAUUCAUUUCUAUUCAUUUUCCGUUUCUGGAUUGGGGAGCGGUGUUUCAACACAAAUCCGAGCUCAUUAAUCUGCUGAUUUAGGUUUCGUUUAGGGACACAAAUGGUGCAAUUGUUUUACAGAUUUACAAAAUUCAGAAAUUUCGAAUUCGAUUGACACGUAGCUGCCGUUCAAUCAGGAUUCGAAUUCGUCAUCUUCGUUUCCUCUGUAUUUUGUUUGUGAAUUGUUUUUGUUGUGCGGAUUGCCAUCGCAGGAAUUUUUGUAGGAAUUUUUUUUUCCUGUUUCUAUAUUUUUUUUCGUUGUUUUCUUUUUUUGGAUCAAAUUUGAUUUGUUUCGUGUAAAGACGAUGGAGGUUUGAGAGGAAAAGAAGAUUCGAAUUUGGUAGAAGAGUAUUGGCGUUGGUGGUCGGUGGUUGGUGCUGGAAUGAACUGCAAGGUUUAUAGGUCGUCGUCCGAUGAGUUGUGGGCGAGGCAGUCGAACGGAGGAGGGGGAGUGAGCCAUGAGAGCGAGCAUGAUUUGGCGCUCAUGGUUAAUGAUUUCCUCGAGAAUGGGAAUAGUUGUGGCGCUGAUUCUCGAUACAGCAGCGAUAGCGACUCCAGCCUCUCUGAUCUCCUUCAGCUCGCUGACAAAAAUCUCCGUUAGUCUCUCUCUCUCUCUCUCUACUAUAUAUAUAUAUAUAUAUAUAUAUAUAUAUCCUGUGUGUGUACAUAUGCUUAGAGGUGUGCAUGUGUGUGUUGGUUAAGGAAAUGAUUUUGAAGGAAACAAUUGGCAGGUUAAAUGUCUUGAUGAAUAGUGUACUUGAAAAUUGAAAUCGAGCUGUCGCUUUUGUAAAUUCAAUUCUUUUUUUCUUCUUUUUUUGUAGGUAUUGGAAUUCAAUUCUAAUGCUAUAAUUUUCUAGCUGAAUUAUGCGCAUGCUAGAGUGGCUCAUUGUUUUGGUGAUAGUAAUUGGAUUUAUGGAUAGGGUAAUAAAUGACCUGUAGCUGGAAUUAGGUGGAUCUUUACUACUGUAUGCCUGGAUUUAAGGUAAAUUUGGUGCUUUUGUACACUGACUUUAUGUUCACGUUUUAUCAUGAAUAUAGAUUAUAGAUUGUUGGUGUUGAAAAGGAAAUCAGGAAUUGAAUAUAGUAUAAUAAAUCUUGAUUGUUUCCUGAAUUGUUCGCCUGUAAACUUCUGCUGUUUCCUGUGGGCCUGUGGCAGUAGUUUUAACAUAUCAUUAAAUUAGAGUUGAGGAAUAGCUCAAAUUUCAUUACUUUUAUCUUCUUUGGGGAUCCAUGAUGGUCAGUCACAUUUACAUUACUCAAAUGUUUUUUACAUAUUGAUUUUAAGCAUGUGGUUUAUGCGUGAAGAAUCCAUAUGUAUAUGAAAGCUAGCUAUCUAUACUAUCACUUAGCAACAAUUUCUUUCAACCACCUUUCAAAUAUAAGAAUAAUUUGUGGAGAACCUGUGAUAGUUUUCAGUCCCAUGUGGCCAUGUGACAAAUGUAGUUUUUUUGGGGCAGUUUCUUCUUUGUAAAUACAGUUCAGAAUUAUUAAAUUCUUCGUUGCCAUUAUUUUGUCAACUUUUUGCUGUUAUUCGUUUACCCAUAUGAACUAGUUGUUUUUGCUUCCUCAGUAUUUCAAGUUGGUGAUGGAUCAAUAUGAAAACGACUUGCUGUCUGUGGUGAAUUCCCUCGCGCUUUCAAUUAAUGAAAGAGACCUCCAUGCUGCGAGCUCAGGUCCGUGCAAAGCCAGCUGCAUCCGGUUCUCCCUAGUAAAACUGCUGAGGAUGUCGGGUUAUGAUGCGGGGUUGUGCACAUCCAGGUGGCAAGGGAGUGAUAAGGUUCCAGGAGGUAAUGACCUCCUUUCUGUCUCUGAGUUUGAUUUUGCAUCUGUAAUAUGCCAUCAAGCAGCUUAAUUGCUAAUUUCCUUCAAGAAUCGUGGUAUAUUUUUCCUCCGUCUGGUUUUCAGUCUAUGCACGAGUGUUAUGAAUGGGGAUUUCUCCCAACUCUUUCACCCGAGAAGCAUUAUGCUACAAAUUAGUAAUAUGAGUUCUCACGUGUUCUGAUACGAUACAAGUUUUCAUUGCCUGCAGGUGAUCACGAGUACAUUGAUGUCAUCCGGUAUAAUGAUACAGGAGUUACUGAGCGCGUGAUUGUUGAUAUCGACUUCAGGAGCCAAUUUGAGAUCGCGAGAGCCGUCGACUCCUACGAUAGGAUACUCAAUUCUCUUCCAGUCAUCUACGUGGGCUCUUUCACUAAGCUUAAACAGUUUCUCCAAGUAAUGGUCGAAGCCGCCAGAUCUUCUCUGAAACAGAACUCAAUGCCUCUCCCUCCAUGGCGAUCUCUUGCUUAUUUGCAAGCUAAGUGGCAGUCUCCGCAUCAAAGGAAAUUCGAUUCUGCUGAACACAACUCGAACACCACUGCUCCCGUCGAUCACAAGAAAUGCGCUGGACAUCUUAAGAGACUGCAUUCCUUACUUCUCUCAGAGAUUGAAGUCGAGCGAGCCCUCAAGCCCUACAACCGCGAUAGGAGGGUGAAAGCCGAGAGGCGAAGGUACGCAUCUUUCAACUAGGAGAAGCGCGCAAAUAAAUCUCUCAACGGGCAAAAUGAUUUUAUAGAAUUUUGUGCUGGACGACGUUAUACAAAUAAAUUCUUAUAUAGCAAGUUUGCAUCAUCAUCACUCUUAUGUUCUUCCACAAAUUCAUUUCAUUUUUGACAAAGUUUUAAGGUUUUUGUAAUAUGGGUUUCAUCAACCAACUGCGGGCCAAUUGUCAAUACAGAGAGUUGUUGCUUUUUUGUCACUGCGGGAAUUUUAAUACUAUUUGUUUUGUCAUCUAUUUGUAGCAACUAGCAAACUGCAAAACUCAAAUCUUUUAUUCUAUUAAUGAGAUUUGUUGUGCUUAUUUUGUAUAUUCUUGGAUUUAUUUUAUUUUAUUUUAUUUAGAAUCAGACCAAGGCUCACCUUUUUGAUUGUGUAAUGAAACUUUUGUGGUGUCUCUGUCUUGAAUAUUUGAUGUUGAGGUCCAAUUGAAAUGAACUUCUACACGCAGCAUUGAUGUGGAGUUUUUCUGGUUCUCCUUUAAAGUAAAAAAGUCGAGAAAAGUGAUAGAUGUCACUCCUUCAUGUAGGUAACAAGAAUAAAUCUAUGUAGUUAAGCAUCUAUCUGUCUAUAAAAGGAGACCCUUUUCUAAAUAUUAUUCGUUUCAUUUCACUUGGCCUAGUUUCUUUUCCGCAUCGUCUUCCUUGAUUUAGCCUAUUUUCUUUUGGAGUAAUAACCCGAUAACUCGAUAAAGUUAGCUCGAAAUCUGAUGGUCUGGUUCUAUUAAUGUCGCUACUUUUAUGUGUGUGUCAUGAUGAUCGGAUUUUAAAAGUUGAUUUGCCACUCCAAGUUCGAGCCUUGUUGGCUUAACCUAUUCUCGAAUUUGAAAAUUGCACCUAUUAUUUUUUUUCAAGUUUACCAUACUAUUUAUAAUUUUUUAUUUUUAUCUUAAAUUUAUUCGACCAUCGAUUUUUUCCUACAUGGACGUAAGAAAUUGACAUGGAGACGGUCGGAAAUAACACGGUGACAGCCGCAAAUAUCACUUGAACUUUAAAACGACACUUUAUUAAAAAAANAUGACAUUUGAAAAAAAUUUUAAAAAAAACAAACAAAAAAAAGAAACAACUUUAUUAAUUAUUAUAGCGUCUAAAUCGGUAUCGUAUAUCAUAUUUGUAUUAGAGUAUACUCCCUCCGUCCUACUGUAAGUGAGAUCUUUUUUUUGGGCACGAGAAUUAAGAAAUGUGUAUUUUGUGUGUAGGUGAAAAAGUGAAAAGGUGUUUAAAUGGAAAAGUUUUUACUCAAAAAGGAAAGGUCUCACUUACAGUGGGACGCCCAAAAUAAAAAGAGUCUCAGAUACAGUGAGACGGAGGGAGUAAAAUGGUAUUUUCACUUGAAUUUAUUACAAUGUCGAUCCUCCCCCACCCCACAAAGAAAGUGUGAUAAAGGUCGCCGACAUAUAAACUACCUAAUCUUGUUUAUCUAUAGUUUUGUGUUGUGGCAUUGUGUGUGAAGUUUUCAUAGGAUGAGAAUCUAAUGUAUGGCCUACUUUGUUGAAUGUUGACCUCACUCUAUCUUUGUCCCUUCCCACAAAUCAUUUUCUCCAAAUUUUGACACUUCCUUCCUAUUUCUCGACACGUUUCCUUCACUUAAUGUUGACGUUUGUCACCGCGUUUUUUCAAUAAUAAUGUCACACUUUUGCUUUUGCACCCUUAUUUUAUUAAAAGAAUUUACGAGUAAAUUAAUCAUUUUGAGAUCAUAUUCAAGAAUAACAUAAGUUGAGGAGAUAUAAUUCAAUCGAUAAAGUUGAGGUAUUAAAACUGUUUUUUUAAUAAAAAAGUUAUCGAAUUAAGUCGUACUAAUACUCCUAUUGUUUAAAUUGGUAUUUUUAUUUAUUUGAUUAUUGAUUUAAUCUGCACUAACGUAUAAUUUUAUUAAUUCAUUUAAUAUAUAUACGAUAUAUUGUAUUUAAAAAUCAACGUAUAAAACUAAAUUUGUGAGCUUUAAUUUAUUACUCCCUCGUUCUAUAUAAUCAGAUCUAUACAAUUUCACUAAUAUUCAAAUUGAAACUCUUUACUUCAGACAUAAUUUUAAUACAGUAUUAUUUUGUUAACAUUUGUACCGUAUCAAAUUUUUUAUGAAUUAAAAAAAACUUUACAUUAUUUAAUGAAAUUACAAUCUGGAAAGUGAUCUACAGAACUGCUGCACCUGUUCCACGAUUCAAAUCUAGCUACAACCGACAUGUCAAUAGUGAAAUCAGCUAAAUAUUUAAUCCCUCCUCGUUUCCUCAAAAGUGGCUCAAAUUUUUUCGACAUAAAAAUUAAAAAUAAAGUGUAAAUUGAUUAAUAGUGAUGAAACCUUCACUUUUUUUAUAAAAAUAAAUAAUUUAUAAUGAAACGAUUCAAAAUAGAAUAAAAAUCGAUUUUAAUGGAACAAGAAAGUAUUGUUAUUAUUAUUAUUAUGGGAAAAUCUCAAACCGUGACUAAAGCAUCUCCCACAGAAUUAAUAUUCUCGAAGACAGCAUGACGUCUACAUUCAGCAAUCUUACAACCAAUCUUACUACAAAAUCUCAUUAAUUAUUACACAUCUCAUUUCGCUCCCAAAUUUUUCCCUUUCCAACUCAUUCCCAUUUCCCACUACGCGUUUUUCUCUUCACACCCAUAAAAUUUUUCAUUAAAUUUCAACAAAUCCAAUAAAAAUCUCAAUUUCACUUCACAGUUAAAAAAAGCCGCAGCCCUUCUCCAAAUUCCACCUCACCACACACAUCUCAGCUUCACCUUCUUCCCCAAUGGCCCCCCCCCAGCCCCCUCCUCCUCCGCCUCCUCCCCCUCCUCGCCCUCCUCUCCGCCGCCUCCGCCAUCGGCGUCAACUACGGCACCCUCGGCGACAACCUCCCCCCUCCGGCGCAGGUCGCCCAGUUCCUCAAGGACAAAACCACCAUCGACCGCGUCAAAAUCUUCGACACCAACCCCGACAUCCUCCGCGCCUUCGCCGGCACCGGCAUCCUCGUCGCCGUCACCGUCCCCAACGGCGAGAUCCCCGCCCUCACCGCCCCCUCCUAUGCCCGCUCCUGGGUCGCCUCCCACAUCGCCCCCUUCCACCCCCAAACCGCCAUCAACUACAUCCUCGUCGGCACCGAGGUCCUCCACUGGGGGCCCCAGCCCCUCGUCGACGCCCUCGUCGCCGCCAUGCGCUCCCUCCACUCCGCCCUCAAACAAUCCAACCUCACCUCCAUCAAAGUCACCACCGCCCACUCCCUCGGCAUCCUCGAAUCCUCCUCGCCCCCCAGCCUCGCCCGAUUCCGCCCCGGCUGGGCCGAGGGGGUGCUCGCCCCCCUCCUCCAGUUCCACCGCGACGCCAAAACCCCCUUCAUGGUCAACCCCUACCCCUACUUCGGCUACAGCCCCCAAAACGCCGAUUUCGCCCUCUUCAAACCUAAUAAAGGCACAUUCGACAAAUUCACCAAGCGCACCUACGGCAACAUGUUCGACAUGCUCAUGGACGCCGUCUACGUGUCGAUGAUGAAAUUAGGGUACAAGGAUGUCGAGAUCGCGGUGGGGGAGACCGGCUGGGCCGCCGCCGGGGACGAAUUCGAGCUGCCGCGGACCACGGUGGCGAACGCCGCGGCGUAUAAUGGCGCGCUGGUGAGGAAGUAUAAUGCCGGGAGGGGGACGCCAUUGAUGCCGAGGAAGAGGUUUGAUGUGUAUCUGUUUGCGCUGUUCAAUGAGAACCAGAAGAGCGGGCCGGCGUCGGAGAGGAAUUUCGGGCUUUUUCGGCCCGAUUUCACGCAGGUUUAUGAUGCUGGUGUGUUGCGGGCCGACGCUUCUGCUCCGGUUAAGGUAAUCGUUUCUGCUUACUUUUUUUUCCACUUUAGCUCGAAAUAGUAGGAAAAAAUAUUUUUUUAAUUUUUUAUAUUUAAUAAAUAUAUUAACUUUAUGAUUUAUUCCGAUUUAAUUGAUCAACAUUGGUGUCCUACUUUCAAUUUUUUUGAUUUUUUUUAAUAUAUUUUUUCUUCAAUUUUAAUUUGGUAUGCUUAAUUUAAUUUUAUGAUUACUAUUCAUGGAUGAAUUAAGACAUAUAAUUAUUUAUUAUUAUUUAAUUUCACUUUAAUUAGUUAAAUGUUGAUGAAUCCAAAGUGGAGGUAGUGUAAUUUUUUAAAGUUUUAAUUUUUGAAAUAUCAAUUAAGUGUAUUUAAUAAUAUUAUAAUAAAUUUAUAAGAGUGUGACACGAUAGCACACAUAGAAUUGUGAAAUAUUGUAUACAUUCUCCUCACUUUAUAAAUUCUAUUAUUCAUAAAUCAUUAGUUUAUAAGACCAUCAUGAUUAAACUUAAGUAAGACCAUCAAUCUUCUCUUGAGAGUGUAUUAAUCUAUAAUUAGAAUUUGUUGAUCAUAAUUAAAAUAUAAGUAGUGUUUGAUUGUGAUGUGCAUAUGGAUUUGAUUCAUGGUGAAUCUAAAUAUAGAUGAUACGUUUAUAAGGAUUAUAUAUAUAGCUUAUAGAAUUGAUGACUUAAUUUAGUUAGUAUUAGUUUAAUGUCGUAGUCGGUGGAAUAGGAUUAGUUUCAAUUUCAUAGAUGAAAUAUUUAAAUUUGACUAACGGUCUUCUAAAUUGAAGAUUUUGUCAAACUAAGUUUGUAUUAUAUCAAAUUAAAAUAUGUGUAUUAUAUUAUGGUAGUGAUGAAUCCAAAAAUCGAGAUGCUUAUUAGCAUGUGAGCUGUCGAUUCUUUGUUUUCUUUUUAGCUUUAAAUCGUGUCAUUUUUUUGCCCGUUAUGCUUUAUUCUUCUCUCUUUCACCUUUCACCUUUCACCUUUCGAAUUACCAAACGCCAUUUGUUUUGCUGCAUAAUAUUUUUUAUUCAAGAUUUUUUUUCUUCGCUUUCUCUUACAUAAUUUAAUCAUUAAUUUCUCCAUGGCAUUCCAACAAAAUAAAUUAGAUUUUUGAUUAAUUAUAUUGCUUCCGUUGAUAAUAAAAUUGUCAGACGGCACAAGUUUUAAUAAAAUGUCAGUAGAGUUCUGAGUGAAGUAAGGGUCACAUUCACGUGGAAUUAUGUGGACCCUUAUACUACUAUAAAUGAAAAUUACAAUUUUAAAUGGUAAAUUUUUCGUUGAUGGAGGAAGUAUCAUGUAUGUGGUGAUUGAUACUUCCGUGAUCUGCUAGCUAAUUUUAUCACAUUAUGUAUGAUACAAGUUUUAAUGAAAUGUAAGUGGAGUUGUGAGUGUAUUAAGGGUCACAUUUUAAAUGUGAGUGGAAUUAUGUGGAUUCUAUUAUUAUAAAUGGAAAUGAUUUUUUAUGGAUGGACAUAAGAGAAAAUUGUAGAAAAUUGUAGCAAAAUUUUCGUUGAUGGAAGAAGUAUCAUACAUGUUUGUGAUUGAUACUUUCGAGAUCUACUAGCUAAGUUUAUGUAUCCACGAAAUUAAUAGGUUAUAAUCUUAUUAUGUUUGUGUCCUUAUCGUGUUGAUUCAAUAAUUUCGUGUUAUGUUCGUGCCGGAUUUGUGUUGUUUUUGUACAACCGGAUAACAAUCCAACAUGCACGAAUUGUUUAGCAUUUAAUUUCGUAUAUCAGUAUUAACCAUUAUCGGAAUAAAGAUAAAUAUAUACUAUUAACAAAUAUUAUUAAAUCUUAACUAAAAAAUAAUAAACCUUAAUGAUAAAAUUAUUAACUAAAAAUUUGAAAAGUUAAAAAUAGAAAGUAAUUAUAUACCAUAUUGGGUAUAAUCAACAAAAUUAACAACUGCAAAUCUAACUAGAACACAAAAAAUUGAAAUUUAAAAAUAGUUAGGUAGAUUUCUUUUUUCUUGAGUUUGAAUCCUGCUAUCUUCACUGUUUGGAUGUCUGGAAUGAUACAAAACUACAUGUUUUUGAAAGUGGUACUUAAAUGUGCAGCCAGCUCCAAAAACGUCGCCGUCGACCCAAGGCGGGAAGAAGUGGUGCGUGCCGAGGCCGGAGGCAACCGAUGCCCAGUUGCAGGCGGACAUAGACUAUGUGUGCAGCCAAGGUGUGGACUGCAGCCCUAUUCAGGCAGGCGGCGCUUGCUUCAACCCGAACAACGUGAGGGCUCACGCGGCUUUCGUCAUGAACUCUUUCUAUCAAAAAGAAGGCCGUCACGACUUCAACUGUGUUUUCUCUAACUCUGCUGUCAUUACCACUACUGAUCCAAGUAUGUUUCUCUACUCCUUUCCUCCAAAUGUUUUGAUUAUUAACAUAGUAAUCUAGUUCAUGACAAGGAUACUUUGGUUUAGUUUACUUUUCAUUUUACUACUGAUUAAUUUCUGUCAUUUGAAAACAAAUGUGUCAUUAUAAGUGGGACGGAGGGAGUGUAUUAUAUCUAUUGCUAUUAUAGUUUUCUUAACAUAAGGAUGAAUAUAAUAUUUGAAUUAUAAAUUUAUCAUGUAAACGGGAGGUUGCAUAAUCUACUCAGUUUUGUGGAUUAUUGAUUUAGAGAGUGUUAUAUGGUUUUUAAAAUAGUUAAUAACCUCCCUAAAAAAUAGUAAGUUCUUUAACUCCAAUUUAUUUUUCAUGAUUUUAUUAGUAGUAAUAAUUUUACAAAAAUAACAGUAUUGUAAUUUGUUAUUUUUCACUAACUUUUUCAAUUUUAUAUUUUAUCGAUUUUGUCUCUCUAAUUCACGAUUAUCUUUUUAACUUAUAAUCUCAAUUACCCAAACACUUGUUAGAUAAAAAAUAGUAAAGUUAAUCCCUUGUUUAUAUUGAUGGAUUGGAACUUUUAAUUUAUCCCAAGAGUCCAAGACCCUUGAUUACUUUUAUCAUUUAAGCUAAUUUUGCCUGAUUCUUAUCCCAUUGCAAGUGUAAGAUUGAAAUAAUCUUAUUUUUUAGGAUAAAAAUAUUCAAUCAUGCAUCUUGUCAAUCAUUCAAAAUAAACGCCCUCUUAUAUGAGCUUAGCUUAGCUAAAUACCCCCUUAAUUUCUUGAUAUGUUGUUCGAUUGGGCGGGCUCGGGCUCAGUACUUACUUAGUCUUGGAUAGUGCCACGUAGAAUUAAUCUUACUUUAUGAGUAUUGGUCUCUCCCAUAACAAAAUUAAUCUGAAGUCAUACUAAUUCAAUAUCCAUUAAUGUUGGGCCACUUUAAUUGAUCCUGUUGAGUAACCAAACACUCCCCAAAAAUAUGUAAAAUCUCGAGCCCAUUUGGAUAUGUAUAGUUAGCAUAUUUUGGUUUUCAUUUUUGGCAUGAUAUGAUUUGUUUUACUAAGAUGUGUGGCAUGUGUUUGUUGCAGGUAAUGGUCCUUGCAAAUACAUCGCUUGAUUCCAUUAGCAGGAAAGGGAAUUUUCUCUUAUUAGGGAAAAUUAACAUUUAUUUGUUAAUUUUAGGCCUCUCUGUUUAUCUUGUAAUUUACUAUGUAUCAUUCUCCACUCUCUUUCCCCUAAAAAAAAAUAAGAAAAAUGAUAUUGUAUGAGUGGGAGAAAUAUUUAUGUAGAAAGUAUGGUAUGAGUUCGAUUAAUUGGGCAUUGCCAAAUUUUUUUCCGCUACACUGAUAUUAUCAUCCUAUAUAGUAUGCAUUCACUAAUUAACCAAAUAAUAAGAUGUAUAAAUCAUAGUUUAUUUUGCAUAUAAACAUUAAUGUUUGGCAUGAUAAUUAUUGAACUAUUAAUUUAAUUUGAUGCAUUGUUAUGUUCGUGUGAUUAUAUUGGUAGAAAUGAUGUUGUUUCAUAGUCGUAUGAUAGUAAGUUUAGCCUAAAUUAUACUUAUUAUGUCCCUUAAAUAACUUUACAUCUUUCCUUUUUUAAUCGUCCUUCACAUAAUUUCUUAUUCAUUUUGGAAUAUUACCCCAGUACUAAUAAUACCCCAUUUAUUUGUACUUUACACAUUUUCACCAUUUUUAAUACGCUUAACAACUUUAUUUUAAAACUCGUCCCUCUCAAUUCUAUGAAGUUAUUUGGAUGACGGAGGUAGGUAGUAAUUAUUCAGCUAGAAUUUGGUGAAAGUUUAAGAAUUUAUAAAUAAUUACCUUUUUUUUAUGAAAUUGUUAGUGCAAAAUUUUGUGUUAUCAAACAUCAAAUUGCCCGUAGAUAUUGCUCAGUUUAUUUGUAGAUAUAUUUUUUUUUGCAUAAACAAAAAAAACGUCAAAUUGCCUGUAGAGCUCGAUUUAUUUGUAGAUUAUAAUUUUUUGAAGGCAAAGAUGACUUAAAAUUUUUAAUUAUUUUGCAUUAAUAAUUAUGUACUAUAGUAUCAAAAUUGUUUUUCUAAGGCAAUAUUUGGUAGAUGAUUAAGGCAUGAUUUAACUAGCUCAUAUAUAUAGAUGAUGAUUUAUUGAUAAGGUAUAAAUAAUAAAUGGUGUAGAUUUAAUGAAAUCUGGUUGGACGGUGGUGAUUGAAUCGAAGUUGCAUUAUUUGAUAUGUAUGACCAAAUGCUUUAUCUUUUUCUGCAUGAGAUUGAUUGAAUCGAUGCUUUAUCUUUUUCUGCAUGAAAUUUUCAAAUGCAUUAUCAGAUGUGUCUGCACUUUAUCUUUAUCACAUGUGUAGAUUGGUGUUGUCAAAUCAAUCCUUUCGUAUAGUAGGGGAGUGAUAAGGCAUACACGAUUUAAUUUUCUGCAUAAGAUAGUCUUGGAGAUUUUUUAUUAUUUAAGACAUACACGAUUUCAAUAACCACCACACCUAUUUCUUCUCUUUCACUCAUAAAAUAGAAAAUCACUCAUAAAAUAGAAAAUUAAAAAAUAUGAAUCAUCAUAAUAUUGGUUCUUCUUCCCUACUUUCUCAUUCAAGUUCAAGCUCAUCUGAUGAUGAGCUUGAACAAUUAAUCAACGAGUGUGAUGUUGAACAUCAAUUGAUGGGUCAACAUAUUUUGAAUAACAAUCUUAUUGUAGCUCAACUGGCUGAAUAUCAAAAUGCUACAAAAAUUCAUGGAGGUUCAGUUCUUGGUCACAAGGUAAUCCAUCGUGACCGAGAAGCAGCAGCUCAUCGUCUCUUCAACGACUAUUUUUCUGAAAAUCCAACAUUCAACGAAGGAAUGUUUCGUAGACGCUUUCGAAUGUCUCGAAGUCUAUUCCUCCGUAUUGUUGAUGCUGUCAAAAAUCAUAAUGGAUUUUUUCGAUUAACGCAUGGAUUGCACAGGAAGAUGGGGCUGUCCACACUGAAACUGCCUUUCGAUAUUGCAUACAGACCGGUAGUGCGGUAUUGUUCAAAUAUGAUGGUGAGUCCACUGCAAUUAAAUGUGUCAAGAAAUUCUGUCGUGCAAUUGUGGAAAUAUUUUCUGAUCAAUAUCUAAGAUCUCCUAAUGCUAGUGAUGUUGCUAGACCACUUUAUAUUGGUAAACAACGUGGAUUUCCAAGAAUGUUAGGUAGUCUUGAUUGUAUGCAUUGGAAGUGAAAAAAUUGUCCAACAGGUUGGGCAGGCUCGUAUGCCGGUCGUAGUGGCUCCCCAACAAUUAUUCUUGAAAUCGUUGCUGAUUAUGACCUUUGGAUAUGGCAUGCAUUCUUUGGUAUGCCAGGAUCCAAUAAUGAUAUUAAUGUGUUGGAAAGAUCUCAUCUUUUCAGUGACCUUGCUAGAGGUAUCACUCCACCGGCACAUUAUGUCAUACAAGGAAAAGAGUAUAAUGUGGGCUAUUAUUUAGCAGAUAGUAUAUAUCCCAAGUGGUCCACACUUGUACAAACUUUUCAUGAACCACGCUCUGUCAAAAAAAAAGUUUUUUACAAUGAGACAGGAAUCGUGUAGGAAAGAUGUGGAGCGUGCAUUCGGAGUUCUUCAAAGUCGAUUUGCAAUUGUUGCAAAUCCAGCUCGCUACUGGCAAAAGAAACAUUUGGAUAAUAUAAUGAAAGCGUGCAUUAUUAUGCAUAAUAUGAUUGUUGAGGAUGAACGUGACCUAUCUGCACCAAUUGAAAUUGCAAGAGAAGUGCCAAUUCCAGAUGUUAAAACAAUGCCAAAUGAAACAAGC